Molecule: long non-coding RNA, 72299 nt
Filed under: Solanum tuberosum (potato)
Lineage: Eukaryota; Viridiplantae; Streptophyta; Magnoliopsida; Solanales; Solanaceae
Description: long non-coding RNA (STUB_LNC000114)
Source: RNAcentral
UCACAAUCUUGUUGAUGAGAUCAGAGAAGUAGAUCAAUCUCGGUCUACCAAUGAAGAGUGGACAGCCAAGAUAAGUAAUAGGAGCCUCCUUUUGAUGAAAUCCCGUAUACCUUUUAAUUCUAUCACAUGUCGUUCUGAAGGCAUUAGGAUGGAGUAGAAAAUGACACUUAUCUUUGUUGAUCAGUUGAUCAGAAAUCCUUUCAUAUGUAGCCAAGGUCUUCAUGAUGAGCUUGAGAGAAUCCUUCCUCCCUGAAGUGAAAAUAAUGAUGUCAUCCGCAAAACUUAGAUGAUUAAUUUGAGGUCCUCUCAUCUCCAUAUAGAAGCCAUGAUACAAAGGAUGUUGGUGAAGUCUGUUCAGCGACCUAGUUAACAUUUCAGCACCUAAAAUAAAUAGGGCUGGGGAUAGUGGAUCGCCUUGUUUAAGGCCUCUAGUUGAAUGAAAGAAACCAUACCUUCUACCGUUAAGAAUGAUAGAAUAGCAAUUGUUGGCCAUAAUUCUCCAUAUCAUAUCGAUGAAAGUCUCUUCAAAACCCAUCUUUCUCAAGAUCAAACAAAUAUAUGACCAUGAAACCCUAUCGUAGGCUUUUGCCAUAUCAAGUUUGAUCACAACAUUGCUUCCAAUAAUAGGUUUCUUAAUCUGAUGGAUAAUUUCUUGCGCUAACAUAAUGUUCUCCGAUAUGCUUCUACCUUUUACGAAGCCUGAUUGAUUUGGAGAAAUCAGACUAGGUAAUAAAGGAGCUAAUCUGAGACAUGAUAGUUUAGAAAUAAUCUUGGUAAUGAAGUUACUUAAGCUUAUGGGCCUGAAUUCAUUGAGUCUGUUCGGGUUUUUCACUUUGGGGAGGAGAAUCAGACACGCAUGUGAAAAAUAUUUAGGGAUCAUCUGGCCACUGAAGAAAGCUUGAAUCACUGCCAUCAAGUCAUUGUUGAUAAUAUUCCAGCAUUUCUGGAAGAAAUACCCAUUCAUACCAUCCGGACCAGCAGCUGAGUUGGGAUUCAUGGAAUAGACUACUUCUUUAAGCUCAUCCAUGGAAGGGAUUUCUUUCAGUCUGUCAUUGUAUUCCUGACUGACUAUUCUUGGGAUACAAUCCAUAGGGUUUAGGGUUUAGGGUUUAGGGUUUAGGUUUAGGGUUUAGGAUUACAAGUUUAGGGUUUAGGAUUACGGGCUUAAGGUUAGGGUUUAGGGUUUAAGGUUUAGGGUUUAGGGUCAGGGUUUAGAGUUUUGGAAUCAAGGUUUAGGGUAUGGGGUUUAGGUUUAGGGAUUAAUGGUUUAGGGUUAGGGUUUAGGGUUUAGGGUGUAUGGUUUAGGGUGUAUGGUUUAGGGUUUACGAUUCAGGGUCUAGGGUUUAAGGUUUACAGUUAGGGUUUAGUGUUUGAGGUUUAAAUUUUAGGAUUUUAUAUUUAGGGUUUAGGGAUUAGGGUUUAGGUUUAGGGUUUAGGAUUACAGGUUUAGGGUUAGGGUUUAGGGUUUAGGGUUUAAAUUUUAGGAUUUUAUAUUUAGGGUUUAGGGAUUAGGGUUUAGGUUUAGGGUUUAGGAUUAUAGGCUUAGGGUUAGGGUUUAGGGUUCAGGGUUUAAGAUUUAGGGUCAGGGUUUAGGGUUUAGAGUUUUGGAAUCAAGGUUUAGGGUUUGGGGUUUUUUUUUUUUUUUUUUUUUUUUUAAUUUUAAUACCCUUGGAGGGGUAGGGGCUGAGCAACACCCCCAGGCCUUAGCAUUGAUUAAAAGACAAAAUACAUAGAGGGGGGCAUAAACCUGACCUCUGAUCCUAUGGUGGUUCAGUAGUCGACCUACCUAAUGUUAGUCAACUCUUCCCCUUACAAAGAAAGGUAAACCAAAAUACUAAGCAUCUAAGAGAGGACUCCUCUCUUUACAAAGUAUCUAGGAAUUUUAAAUAAGGGAGACUCUCCCCUUACAAUAUCCAAAAAAGCCUAUACCUAUUCAAAAGAGCUAUGUUUUUAAGACAUAGCUAAGUUAAGGAGAUUUGAACCAUCUCAAGGUGGUUCUUUGAUUAGCUUGAUUUUCCUUCUUCUGAAGUUAGCCAUCUCGAUCAUGUCUAAUUGAUAAUAUGCUUUUGCUGCUUUUGGUAAUUGUUGACUGUUGCAAUAUAUUUGGGGACAUGUCAUUUUGUGGCUAUGCUUAGAUAGAGAAUCAGCCACAUAGUUGGCUUCCCUGUAGAUGUGUGUGCAUCGAAAAUUUUGGGUGUGUCUGAUGAGUUCUUGGAGCUGCUGUAGUUGUGUGAUAAUGCUCCAUGGAGGCUUGAUUUUUAGGGUGAUCCAGUCUACCAGUAGCUGUGAAUCUACUUCCAAAAAAACAUUUCUAUAGCCUAGUUGAAGAACCCAUGUCAUGCCAAAUAUGGCUGCCCCAAUUUCAGCUUGAUUGUUGGUGCCCUCCCCCAAAGGUGUAGAAAUUAGGUAUUAGGGAUUAGGGUUUAGGGUGUAUGGUUUAUGGUUUAUGGUUUAGGUUAUACGGUUGAGGGUUUAGGUUUUUGGAUUUAGGGUUUUGGUUUGUAGGUUUAGGGUUUAGGGUUAGUGUUUAGGGCUUAUGGUUUUGGGUUUAGUGUUUAGGUUUAGGGUUUAUGAUUAAUGGUUUAGGGUUAGGGUUUAGGGUUUGGGUGUAUGGUUUAGGGUGUAUGGUUUAGGGUUUACGAUUUAGGGUUUAGGGUUUUGGGUUUAAGGUUUACAGUUAGGGUUUAGUGUUUGAGGUUUAAAUUUUAGGAAUUUGCAUUUAGGGUUUAGGGUUUAGGAUUUAGGUUUAGGGUUUAGGAUUACAGGUUUAGGGUUAGGGUUUAGGGUUUAGGGUUUAAGGUUUAGGGUUUAGAGUCAGGGUUUAGGGUUUAGACUUUUGGAAUCAAGGUUUAGGGUUUGGGGUCUUGGUUUAAGGAUUAGGGUUUAUGGUUUAGGGUGUAUGGUUUAGGUUAUACGGUUUAGGGUUUAGGUUUUUGGGUUUAGGGUUUUGGGUUGUAGGUUUAGGGUUUAGGGCUUUGGGCUUAGGGUUUAAGGGUUAGGGGUUAGGGGUUAGUGUUUAGGGUUUAUGUUUUACGUUUCAGGGUUUAUGGUUUAUAGUUUAGGGUUUAGCAUUAGAGUUUAGGGUUUAGGGUUUAGAGUUUAGGAUUUAGGGUUUAGGGUUUAGAGUUCAGGCUUUAGAGUUUAUGGUUUAGGAUUUAGAGUUUAGGAUUUAGGGUUUAGGAUUUAGGGUUUAUGGUUUAAGUUUUGAAGUUUAGGGUGUACUGUUUAUGGUAUAGGGUUUAGAGUCUAGGGUUUAGGGUUUAGGGUUUAGGUUUAUGAUUUUUUUAUUUUAUUUUAUUUUAAUGACUCUUGAAGGGGUCAGGGGAUUAGCAACACCCUAGGCCUUAGCAUAGAUAAAAAAGAAAAUACAAGGAGGGUUUAGGAUUUAGGCUUUAGGAUUUAGGGUUUAUGGUUUACGAUUUAGGGUUUAGGAUUUUGGAUUUAGGCUUUAGGGUUUAGGAUUAUGGUUUAGGGUUUAGGAUUUAGGGGUUAGAGCUAAGGGCUUAACGAUUAGGGUUUAGGGUUUAAGGUUUUGGAUUUAGGGUUUAGGGUUAGGGAUUAGGAUUAUGAUUUAGGGUUUAGGGUUAGAGUAUAGUAUUUAGGGUUUACGGUUUAGAGUUUGGAUUUAUGGUUUAGAGUUUAGGUUUGGGGUUGAGGGUUUAGGGUAUUUUGGAUUAGGAGUUUAGGAUUUGGUGUUCACGAUUUAGGGUUUAGGGUUUGGGAUUAUGGUUUAGGGUUUAUGGCUUAGCAUUUUCAAUUUAGGGAUUAGGGUUCGGGUUUUAGGGUUUAGGGUUUAGGGUUUAGGGUUUAGUGUUUAGUGUUUAGUGUUUAGUGUUUAGGGUUCUAGGGUGUAGGGUUUUGGGUUUAGGGUGUAGGGUUUAGGUAUUAUGGUUUUGGGUUUAGGGGUUUAGGUUUUAUGGAUUAAUGGUUUAGGGUUAUGGUUUAGGGUUUCAUGGAUUAAUGGUUUAGGGUUAGGGUUUAGGGUUUAGGAUCUAGAGUUUAGGGUUUAGUGUUAGGGUUUAGGGUUUAUAGUUCAUGAUUUAUGAUUUAGGGUUUAGGGUUUUGGAUCUAGAGUUUAGGGUUUAGGGUUUAUAGUUUAUGAUUUAUGAUUUAGAGUUAAGGUUUAGGUUUAGGUUUAGGGUUUAGGGUUUAGAGCUUAGGGCUUAGAGUUUAGGGUUUACGGUUUAGUGUUAGGGAAUUAGGAUUAGGAUUUAGGGUUUAGAGUUUUUAUUUAUGAUUUAGAGUUAAGGGUUUAUGAUGUUAUCCUCACAAGAAGAAUCACUAAAAACAGCGGAAAACAAGAAAGAUAGAAGAAGAGAGACAAGAUAAGAAACAAUUGGCAACUAAAGGAUGUAUUAAAUCCAAUAACCUCCAAUUUCGAUCCUAACAAACACCUUAUCCGGAUAAAUAGAUUGACACAAGAAAAGGAAAUCAAAAGCAACCUAAAGGUAUGUUAAACCUAAAGACCUCAAUCGAUUAAUCCACAAUCAAGCACCUAAUCUCUUACGAAGACCUCAAGGAAAUUGAAUCUCCCAGCAACCCCGUUUCUAAACAAAGUUCAGCAAAAGCUUUACCAAGCUCUCAAGUAUCUCAAGGAGAUCCAAUUAAUCAUUCAUCAAUAUUCAAAAAUAGUCUCCCUAAAAUGAACCCUAAGACACCUAUUUAUAGUAUUAGGCAUUAUUACAUAGAUGGGCCCAAAACUGACCUGAAAUGGGUGAGCUAAGUCGGGAUCGCCUAAUCCUCUUAGCGAGUCGCCGAUCAGUCGGCAAUGUGCACUGCUCCCUUGGCUUUUCCCUUGAUGGCUACUAUAACUUUCGAUGGUCUGGGGUCAAUGGGUGAUGCGUCGAAUGUCCUCCAUGCUCGCCGAAUGGGCAACCUUCUCUUACAGCUCAUUGGAUCAGUUGGCGAUUUUGGAACACUCGCCAAAGGGCUUUGGCAAGUCGCCGAAGUGUCCUUCAGCUCACCGAAUGAAGCACAUUCUUCAGUUGCUCAUCCUCGCUUCGUUAGGCCUUUCACGCUCCAAGCUAUCAUCCAAGCAUGGUGUUGCCCAACUGGGAGCUCCUUCAAGGUGCAUAUGUUCCCAUGGAAGGCAUGAAACUCCCUCAUUGGCAUCCAUACAUGCCAAACAACCUCCAUCCUUGUGAGCACUCCAUCAAAGCAUUGAAGUUCGUGAAUGGAUAGGCUUGAUGUAAUCCAUUUUACAUCUGUUUAGGGUUUAGAUUUUGGAUUUAGGGUUUAGAGUUUAGGUUUGGGGUUAGGGUUUAUGGUUUAGGGUUUAAGGUUAGGGUUUAGAGUUUUGAAAUUAGCGUUUGGGGUUUAGGAUUUCACAUUUAGAGUUUAGGGUUUAGGUUUUAUAAUUUAGGGUGUAUGGUUUAUGGUUUAUGGUUUAUGGUUUAGGGUUUAUGGUAUAGGGUUUAGGGUUUAGGUUUUAGGGUUUAAGGUUUAAGGUUAGGGUUUAGAGUUUUGAAAUUAGCGUUUGGGGUAAAGGGUUUAGAGUUUAGGGUGUAUGGUUUAUGGUUUAUGGUUUAGGGUUUAUGGUAUAGGGUUUAGGGUUUAGGUUUUAGGGUUUAANNNNNNNNNNNNNNNNNNNNNNNNNNNNNNNNNNNNNNNNNNNNNNNNNNNNNNNNNNNNNNNNNNNNNNNNNNNNNNNNNNNNNNNNNNNNNNNNNNNNNNNNNNNNNNNNNNNNNNNNNNNNNNNNNNNNNNNNNNNNNNNNNNNNNNNNNNNNNNNNNNNNNNNNNNNNNNNNNNNNNNNNNNNNNNNNNNNNNNNNNNNNNNNNNNNNNNNNNNNNNNNNNNNNNNNNNNNNNNNNNNNNNNNNNNNNNNNNNNNNNNNNNNNNNNNNNNNNNNNNNNNNNNNNNNNNNNNNNNNNNNNNNNNNNNNNNNNNNNNNNNNNNNNNNNNNNNNNNNNNNNNNNNNNNNNNNNNNNNNNNNNNNNNNNNNNNNNNNNNNNNNNNNNNNNNNNNNNNNNNNNNNNNNNNNNNNNNNNNNNNNNNNNNNNNNNNNNNNNNNNNNNNNNNNNNNNNNNNNNNNNNNNNNNNNNNNNNNNNNNNNNNNNNNNNNNNNNNNNNNNNNNNNNNNNNNNNNNNNNNNNNNNNNNNNNNNNNNNNNNNNNNNNNNNNNNNNNNNNNNNNNNNNNNNNNNNNNNNNNNNNNNNNNNNNNNNNNNNNNNNNNNNNNNNNNNNNNNNNNNNNNNNNNNNNNNNNNNNNNNNNNNNNNNNNNNNNNNNNNNNNNNNNNNNNNNNNNNNNNNNNNNNNNNNNNNNNNNNNNNNNNNNNNNNNNNNNNNNNNNNNNNNNNNNNNNNNNNNNNNNNNNNNNNNNNNNNNNNNNNNNNNNNNNNNNNNNNNNNNNNNNNNNNNNNNNNNNNNNNNNNNNNNNNNNNNNNNNNNNNNNNNNNNNNNNNNNNNNNNNNNNNNNNNNNNNNNNNNNNNNNNNNNNNNNNNNNNNNNNNNNAUUUGGGUUGUAGGGUUUAGGUUUUAGGGUUUAGGGUUUAGGGUUUAGGUUUUAGCUUUUAGGGUUUAGUGUUAAAGGUUAGCGUUUAGGGUUUAGGGUUAUAGUUUAGGGUUUAGAGUUUAGGAUUUAGGGUUUACAGUUUAGGGUUUAGAGUUUAGGGUUGAGGAUUUAGGGUUUAAGGUUUAGGGUUUAGGGUUUCUAUUUUAGGUUUUGUGUUUAGGUUUUGUGUUUUGUGUUUAGGGUGUAGGGUUUAGGGUUUAGGGUUUAGAGUUUAGGAUUUAGGGUUUAAGGUUUAGGGUUUAGGAAUUAGGGUUUAGGGCUUAAAGAUUUAGGCUUUAGGGUUUAGGGUUAGGGAUUAGGGUUAGGGUUUAGGAUUUAGGGUUUAAUGUUUAGGCCUUAGGGUUUAGAGUUCUAGGCUUUGUGUUUAGGGUUAGGAAUUGGGAUUAGGAUUUAGGGUUAAAGGUUUAGGGAUUAGGGUUUAGAGUUUAGGAUUUAGGGAUUAGGGUUUAGAGUUUAGGAUUUAGGGAUUAGGGUUUAGAGUUUAGGGUUUAGAGUUUAGGGUUGGGGUUUAGAGUUUAAGGUUUUUAGGAUUAGGAGUUUAGGAUUUAAGGUUUAUGGUUUAGUUUGGGGUUAGGGUUUAGGGUUUAGGGUUUACUGUUUAGAGUUUAGUGUUUAGGGAUCUAAGUUUAGUGUUUUGGGCUUAGGGUUUAGGGUUUAGGGUUUAGAGUUUAGGGUUUAGGUUUAGGGGUUUAGCGUCUAGGGUUUUGGGUUUAGUGGUUUAGGGUUAAGGGGUUAGUGUUUAGGGUUUAUGGAUUAAUGGUUUAGGGUUAGGGUUUUGGGUUUACGGUUUAGGGGGGUCAAGGGUUUUUAGGUUUUAGGGUUUAUAGUUUAUGAUUUAUGAUUUAGGGUUAGGGUUUAGGGUUUAGGGUUUAGGGACUAGGGUUUAGGAUUUAGGGUUUAGGGUUUAGGGACUUGGGUUAAUGGUUUAGAGUUAAGGUUUGGGUUUAGGGUUUAGGUUUUAUGUUUAGAACUUAGAAUGGGUUUAGGGUAAGGGAUUAUGAUUAGGAUUUAGGGUUUAGGGUUUAGGAAUUAGGGUUUAGAAUUUAGGAUUUAGGGUUUAGGCUUUAGGAUUUUUGAUUUAGAGUUUGGAAUUAGGGUUUAGAAUUUAGGAUUUAGGGUUUAGAGUUUAGGAUUUAGGGUUUAGAGUUUGGAAUUAGGGUUUAGAGUUUUGGUUUUGGGUUGAAGGUUUAGGGUUUAGGGUUUAGAGUUUUGUAAGUAGGGUUUAGGGUUUGGGGUUUAGGGUUUAACAAUUAGGGUUUAGGGUUUAGAGUUUAAGGUGUAUUGUUUAUGGUUUGUGGUUUAGGGUUUUUGGUAUUGGGUUUAGGAUUUAGGGUUUAAGGUUUUGAGUUGUAGAUUUAGGUUUUAGGGUUUAAGGUUUAGGGUUUAGGAUUUUUUUUACCCUCUCUAGGAGCUUCCACCCCUUUUAGCUCCCUUGGUGACUCAAACUCGCAACCUUCGGGGUGGAAGUGAGCAGUGCUUACCAUCCUAGCAACUUCCUCUCGUUAGGGUGGCUUUAUGUAUUAGGGUUUAGGGUUUAUAGUUUAGGGUUUAAGGUUUAGGAUUAGAGUUUAGGGUUUAGGGUUUAGGGUUAGAGUUUAGGGUUUAGAGUUUAGGAUUUAGGGUUUAGGAUUUAGGGUUCAGGGUUCAGGGUUCAGGGGUCAAGGUCUAGAGUUUAGGGUUGAUGAUUUAGGGUUUAGAGUUAGGGUUUAAGGUUUAUGGUUUAGGGUUUAGGGUUUCGAGUUUAGGUUUUGUGUUUAGAGUUUAGGGUCUAGGGUCUAGGGUUUAGGGUUUAGGAUUUAGGGUUCAUGGUUUAGGAUUCUGUGUUUAGGAUUUAGGGUUUAGGGUUUAGAGUUAGGGUUUGGGGUUUAGGAUUAGGGUUUAGGUUUUAUGAUUUAGGGUUUAAGGUUUUGGCAUUAGGGUUUAGAGUUACGGGCUUUGCAUUUAGUGUGAGGGAUUAAGAUUAGGAUAUAUGGCUAAGGGUUUAGGGAUUAGGGUUUAGAGUUUAGGAUUUAGGGUUUAGGGUUUAGGGUGUAGAGUUUGGAUUUAGGGUUUAAAGUUUAGGUUUGGGGUUUAGGGUUUAGGGUUUUUAGGGUUAGGAGUUUAGGAUAUAGGGUUUACGGUUUAGGAUUUAUGGUUUAGGUUUAGGAUUUAUGGUUUAGGGUUUUGGGUUUAGGUUUUGGGUUUAGGGUUUAAGUUUUAGGGUUUAGUGUUUAUAGUUUAGGGUUUAGGGUUUAGGAUUUAGGGUUUAGGGUUUAGGGUUUAGAUUUUAGGGUUAGGGCUUUUAGGUUUUGGGUUUAGGGGUUUAGGGUUGAUGGAUUAACGGUUUAGGGUUAGGGUUUAGGGUCUAGGGUUUUGGAUUUAGGGUUUAGCAUUUAGGGUUAGGGUUUUGGGUUUAGGGUUCAGAGUUUAGAAUUUAUUAUUUAUGAUUUAGGUUUUAAGAUUAAUGGUUUAGGGUUUAGGGUGUAGGGACUAGGGUUUAGGGACUAGGGUUUAGAGUUUGGAUUUAUUGUUUAGUGUUAAGGUUUAGGAUUAGGGUUUACGGUGUAGGUUUUUUUUUUUAACUACCCUUGGUUGGGGUAGGGGCUGAGCAACACCCCCAGGCCUUAACAUAAAUAAAACUAAAAGUUCAAGGAAGGGGGCAUAAACCUAACCUCCGGUCCUAUGGUGGUUCAAUAAUCGACUUUCCUAAAAGGAUAGUCAAUUCGACCCUUACAAAAAGAUAAAUCCAAGAAACUAAGCAUCUUAAAGAGAGGACUCCUCUCGAUACAUAGAAUCUAAGAAUCAUAAACUAGGGAGACUCUCCCCUUACAUCAAAAGAAAUUAAAACUUAUACCUAUUCAAAAGAGGUAUAAUUUUAGAUUAUAGCUAGGUUGAAAAGGUUGUUCUCUUUCUCAAGGAGGUUCCUUGAUCUUCGUGAUUUUUCUUCUCCUGAAAUUUGCCAUAUCCUGCAUGUCUAGUUAGUGGUAGGCUCUUGGUUCCCUUGGUAAUUGAUGGCUGUUGAAGUAUAUUUGAGGAUUAGGGAUCUUGUGGCUGUGUUUUGAUAGGGAAUCAUCAACAAAAUUGGCUUCUUUGUAAGUGUAUCUGCAUCUGAACUCCUGUGCAUGUCUGAUGAGUGCUUGAAGUUUCAGUACCUGUGUGUUAAUGCUCCAUGGAGGGUUUGUUUUGCUCAUGAUCUAGUCCACCAAAAAUUGUGAGUCCACCUCCAGUUGGAUGUUUCUGUAUCCCAGUUCAAAGGACCAUGUCAUGCCAAAUAUAGUUGCUUCCAAUUCAGCUUGGUUGUUGGUUCCUUCUCCCAAGGGAGUCGCAAAUGCUAGCAUCGUUUCCCCUGUAUUGCCCUUUAAAAUGCCUCCUGCUCCUAUUUUGCUUGGGUUGCUCAAAGCACUACCAUCGGUGUUGAGUUUUACCCAUUGUUCUGGAGGUUUUUUCCACAUAACAAGAGUCACUUUGGUAUCAUGAAUACAUCUUUUCCCCAGUUGGAUCAGCUCCUUCCAAGUCAAAGGCCAUUUGAUGUGAGGGAAAAUAGUGGUCAUGAACUUGUAAUUGUCCUUGUAUAUGGCAUAUUUAACUCUGCUAUUAUUGGAUUGUUUGCCUCCAUAUUUGCUAGCACACCUAUUCUUCCAAAGAUUCCAACAAAUGAAUAUUGGUGUAGCUUGAAGUAGCAGCCUGUGUGCUUCAUUGUUGUACCGAGUUGACCACCAUUGCAUGAUUAGGUGAGGUAAGGAAGAGUGGUCUGUAAUGAUUCCAGCACCUGCAACAAAGCUUUUCCACACAUAGGUAGCAAAUUGUCCACUGUUGAAGGUGUGUUCUAUGUUAUCCAGACCUGGCCUACUACAACAAAAACAAUUUGCUAGCUCAUUGCCAAAGCUGGUUAGUUUCUCGUUAGUAGGAAGUUUACCUCUUAAAGCUCUCCACAAAAGAAAAGAAGAUUUAAAAGGAAUGUUCCUGUGCCAAAUGAAGGAGUUGAAUUUUGUUUUGGUUCUCUUCUCUCUGAUAGCAUUCCAUGCAGAAGAACAAUUAAACUUUCCAUCAUUGCUUAGUUUCCAAAUAGGUUGAUCUGGGAGGUCCUGCUGGACCUGAAGGUCUGUGACCAGAAUGUUGACUAAUUGACAGUUAGGGGCCUGUUGAAUAAGCAUAUUCCAGGUCCAGUUACCAUUAAUCAAGAAUUCAGCAAUAGUGGUGUUAUUAAACCUAUUACUCUCAUUAGAAAGUCUAGCAAGAGGUCCAUCACCAAGCCAACUAUCCCACCAAAAAGAACAAGUGCCAGAGUUGAUUUUCCAAUGAAUGUUUUCUUCAACUUUAUGCUUGUUGUGCAUUAGGUGCUUCCAAGUAAGUGACUCUCAUGUAUCCCAUUUCUUGCUAAUAGGAUUAGAUCUCUGACAAUAUUUAGCCUUAAAAAAAUCUCCCCAGAGGGUUUGUUUGGAUCUGAAAAUCCACCAUUGUUUGUAUUGGAAUGCCAUGCAUAUAUCUUUUAGAUUCCUUACACCAAUGCCUCCUUCAUCAACAGGAAAGCUUAAAUUUUUCCAUGAAGACCAAUGGUAUUUUUUCCUUUCACUCCUCAACCCCAGAAAAAGUUAGCCAUGAUGCUUUGAAUUUGUUUAAGGACAGUAACAGGGGGGGUGACAGCAUAUAGUAAAUGAAUAGGGAGGGAUUGUAAUACAUGUUUGUCCAAUAUUACUCUACCCCCAUAGCUUAGUAUUUUAGUUUGCCAACCUGUAAUUCUGUUAAGCACCUUGUUAAUAAGAUCAGAGAAAUAUAUGAUUCUAGGCCUGCCUACAAAUAAAGGGAAGCCUAGGUAAGUGAUAUGGCCCUCUUUCUGUUUAAAUCCAGUCACUCUUUUGAUUUUAUCUUUUGUGCUGUUGAAGGCACUAGAGUGAAUCAUAAAGUGACUUUUUAUUUGUUCACAAGCUGGCCGGAUGUCUCUUCGUAGGAGCUCAAAGUUUGCGUAAUAAGCUUUAAAGUUCUGUGUCUCCCAGAGGAAUAUCGUCUGCAAAGCUGAGAUGAUUCACUUGAGGACCUCUCUUCUCCAUGAAAAAACUAUGAUAGUCGGGGUUAUUAUGAAGCCUGUUAAGAGAUCUUGAAAGUACUUUCCCCUACCCUUAAAAUAAAUAGGGCAGGGGAAAGUGGAUCACCUUGCGUGAGACCUCUAGUAGAGUGGAAAAAACCAUGUCUCUUUCCAUUGACUAUAAUAGAGUACCAAUUGUUAGCCAUGAUCCUCCAAACCAUAUCAAUGAAUACCUCAUCAAACCCCAUUUUUCUCAGUACUAGGUAGAUAUAGGACCAAGAGACCCUAUCAUAUGCCUUGGCCAUGUCCGGGUGUAGGGGUUAGGAGUUUAGGAUUUAGGAUUUAUAGUUUAGGGUUUAGGGUUUAGGUUUAGGGGUUAGGUUUCAAGGUUUAGGGUUUAAGGUUUAGGGUUUAGGGUUUAGGGUUUAGGGUUUAGGGUUUAGGGUUUAGGGUUUAGGGUUUAGGGUUUAGGGUUUAGGGUUUAGGGUUUAGGGUUUAGGGUUUAGGGUUUAGGGUUUAGGGUUUAGGGUUUAGGGUUUAGGGUUUAGGGUUUAGGGUUUAGGGUUUAGGGUUUAGGGUUUAGGGUUUAGGGUUUAGGGUUUAGGGUUUAGGGUUUAGGGUUUAGGGUUUAGGGUUUAGGGUUUAGGGUUUAGGGUUUAGGGUUUAGGGUUUAGGGUUUAGGGUUUAGGGUUUAGGGUUUAGGGUUUAGGGUUUAGGGUUUAGAGUUUAGGGUUUAGGGUUUAGGGUUUAGAGUUUAGGGUUUAGGGUUUAGGGUUUAGAGUUUAGGGUUUAGGGUUUAGGGUUUAGAGUUUAGGGUUUAGGGUUUAGGGUUUAGAGUUUAGGGUUUAGGGUUUAGGGUUUAGAGUUUAGGGUUUAGGGUUUAGGGUUUAGAGUUUAGGGUUUAGGGUUUAGGGUUUAGAGUUUAGGGUUUAGGGUUUAGGGUUUAGAGUUUAGGGUUUAGGGUUUAGGGUUUAAGGUUUAGAGUUUAGGGUUUAGGUUUUUUUUAUUUUAUUUGAGCGAUUCUUGGGAGGGGGGGGGGGUCAGGGUCUUAGCAACACCCUCAGGCCUUAGCAUAAAUAAAACAAAAAUAAGUACAAGGAGGGUGACAUAAAACCUUACCUCCGAUCCUAUGCUUGUUCAAGAGUCGACCUUCCUACUAAGGAAAUUCAACUUAUCCCCAUACUAUAAAAAAGGAAACAUAGCACUAAGUACCUAAGGAGAGGACUCCUCUUAAUACAAAGUUACUAGGAAAGCUUAAAUAAGGGAGACUCUCCCCUUACACAGGGAAAGAAAAUAAAAAGCGCCUAUAUAAAGAAACUAUACCUACUCUAGAUAUAGUCAAGUUGAAAAGGAUGAUAACCCAUAAUAAGCUAUUCAAGGAGGUUUUUUGAUUUUUUUCAGCUUCCUUUUUCUGAAGUUGAUCAUGACCAUCCUCUCCAAUAAGUAGCUUCCUUUAACUGGAACAUGUAGCUGGUUGAGAGUGUAAAAUAAUUGAGGAAUGUCUUUCUUAUGGCUCAAUUUGUCUAGAAAGUCAGUAGUAGUGUUGGCUUCCCUGUAAGUAUGCAAGCAUUGAAAUGAUUCCAUUUAUUGAAUGAGAUUCUGCAGCUCUUUAACAUAUUGUUGUAUCUUCCAUACGUUUAGCUAGUGAGUGAGGAGUUCAGAAUCCACUACCAGCACAACCUUCCUAUAACCAUGUUGAUAUCACCAGUUUAAUCCAAACACUGCAGCUUGCACCUAUGCCUGAUUAUUGGUGCCUGUACCAAGGGGCACUGUGAAUGCAAAUAUAAGUUCCCCUGCUUGAUCCCUUAGGAUACCUCCCCUCCUAUCUUGCCAGGGUGUAACACCCCAUGUCCUGGUCGUUUGUACGACUAAGUUCACAUCGACAAACCUAUUAUUAUUUAGGAGAAUGAGGUUGUAAUCAAAGCCUAAACACCAAGGGUUAAAGUAUAUAUAUAAUUAGUUAAGAUAAGGUUCAAAUGAAUGGUUUGGACAGAAAUGAAAAUUUGAAUCAAGCGCUUCACCUACUUGCUUCACCUAUGUGCUUUCACCUACUUGCUCCACCUACUAGCUUCACCUACUAAGCCUUAAUGACCAGUCAAAAGGACCAUGUAGGUGCAUCACCUACUUGGACUCCUUGACCAGCUCAAAGAUCCAAGUAGGUGGAUCACCUACUUAGCCAUUUUUGUGGCCCAAAAUAAAGAGAAAAAGUGAGGCGCCGGAGACUCUUUAAGACAAAGACUUGGCUAAUGUUCUCUUAUGAUUCUUACAUACAUAAAUUCUAUGAGCUCUCUCAAGUUUAUAUCUUCAUCUCUCAACUUCAGGCAUCUGCCUCAAAUUAUAUCUAGGAUUCUUGAAGAAAUCCUUCUCUUUCAAAUCUAACUUUGAAGGUUAAUUCAAGCCCUUGAAGGACUGCAAGUCAAGGUCUAAAUUUGCAGAAAUUUAGGUAAUCUUACUUCCCCAUUUUAUCUCAAUAUAUAUAUUAGAUUGGGUGAGAUUUAUCUAGGUUAUUUUCAUGAAAUUAUGGGACUAUGACCGAAAUUGAUGAGUCCAAGCUUUAGUGAUUAUGAUAAAACGUGUGGAGCUGCCUAAUAUGGUGAAUCUUGGAGCAGUAUUGGGUGGAUAGUUGGAUUCAUUUGGUGGUGAAGGACGCUAUUUUAUACCUAUGUAUGCUAGUAAAAGUGUUGUUUGUGUGUAUGAGAUAGUUGGGUGUUGAAACACCAGUUUUGAAAAUUGUGGAGCUUUAUCCCCGCUAGGUGUUCGACAUAAUAUCCUACUGGUCUAUUUCUUGACCUAUUGACUCUAUUGUAAUGUAAUCGAUCUGUAUAUUUAUAUUAUAAUUUAUAGUGUUGGAUGGUCUUAUGAGGUAAUUAUGAACUCAAGCUAUUAAGCAAAUGUUAGCAAAAUAUUCAAAAAUAGGUAAGAAUGACCUUAGAGGUUCAAGUCAGUUAGUCUAUGAAGUUAAUACGAGACAGAUGAAAAUAAUGGACUAGAAAGGAAAAGGUUUAUACACUCUAAUAUGACUAAUCCCCAAAGCUAAGGAGAAUUAAGGUCAGAUGAUGAUUGAUUGGUUAGACAUAAGCUAUGACGAAGGCAUUAUGCUAGUAAGUUUUAAUUGGGAGAAUUCUGUUAGAUACUAAGUAGAUAAGAAUAGUGUUUGGGUGUCGUCAAGUGCUGCAGUAUGCUAAUGUUCCUUGUUAAAGGAGAAUAGUUGAGUAUAGUUACUGAAAAUGUAAUUAAAGUGAAAAAAGUGAGGUAAGCUGUGCUUGUUAAAGGUUGUCUCAUAUGUUAAGUGAAUAAGAGUAGCCUUAUAAUCCAUGGUCCACCAUCUCAUGAUUAGAUUCCUCAAAGGAAUUUUGUCCUGCUUGUCUCCUAAUAUAGCUAAAUGAAAUUGCCAAAUGUGAUUAGCAAAAUGACCAGUCACAAAGAUGUGAUCAAUAGUAUCCCAUCCAGUCUUGAUGCAACAAGAACACAUAAGGGUUUAGGGUUUUGAGUUUACGAUUUAGGAUGUAGGGCUUAGUGUUUAGGGUUGUAGGUUUAUGGUUUAAGGUUUAGGGGUUAGGGGUUAGAGUUUUGAUUUAGGAUUUAGGGUAUAGUUUUUUGAGUUUAGGAUUUAGGUUUUAAAGUUUAGGGUGUAGGGUUUGGAGUUUAGGAUUUAGGGUGUAGGGUUUAGGGUUUNNNNNNNNNNNNNNNNNNUUUGGGGUUUUUUUUUUUUUUUUUUUUUAAUUUGAACGACCCUUGGGGGGUCAGGGGCUUAGCAACACCCCCAGGCCUUAGCAUUAAUAACAAAACAAAAAUACAAGGAGGGGGACAUAAACCUUACCUCCGAACCUAUGGUGGUACAUGUGUCAACCUUCCUAUAAGGCUAGUCGACUCAUCCCCGUACUAGAAAAGGAACCUACUAACUAUGCGCCUAGAGAAGAGGACUCCUCUCCGUACAUCAUAACUAGUAAGCAAUAACUAGGAGACUCUCCCUUACAUGGAAACGAAUGGAAAACUAAUCUAGAGUCUAUCUAAAACUUAAGGCGGUUGCUUGAUUCUCUUUAUUUUCUUCCUUUUGAAAUUGGAUACUCCCAUCCUCUCUAGCAGGUAGCUACCUUUAGCAACUGUAGGAAGCUAAUGAUGAGUGUAGUAUUGUCUGAUAAUGUCUGAGUUGUGGCUUCCCUUUGCAAGGAAAUCUGCUGUACUGUUAGCUUCCCUGAAGAUGUGCCUGCAUUCAAAAACUUCUAGCUGUCUAGCGAGUCUGAUCAGUUCCUUGAUGUGCUGCUGAAUCUGCCAGGGAGGUUUUUGAUUUUAUAGCUGAUCCAAUUAUUCAGCAGCUUUGAGUCAACUUCGAGGAUAAUCUUCUUAAAACCAUUGAACACACCAGUAGAUACCUUGCUGCGCUGCAAGUGUCUCUGCUAAAUUAUUUGAGCCAAUUCCAAGAGGAAUGCUGAAAGCAUAUAUCAUGUUGCCUUGAUGAUCCCUCAAAAUUCCUCCGCCCCCAAUUUUGCCCGGAUUGUUCAUUGCACUACCAUCCGUAUUGAGUUUAAAAAUAUCGGUGGGAGGAGUUUUCCAAUUAACCUGAGUGAUCGUGAUCUCAUGUUUGCAAGCCUCCAUAUAAUUGAUCAAGUCAUGCCAGUCCUCAGGCCAUUGCAAAUAUGGAAAGACAAUAUGGAGAAGCAUUAUGAUGUCAUUCUGAAUACUGAAUUUAACUCUGAUGAUGCUAGAUUUUUUGCCUCCAUACUUAGCUGAACAUCUAUUUUUCCAAAGAUUCCAACAUGUUAUAAUCGGCAAAGAGUGCAGAAACAGUUUCUGCACUGCAUUUCUGUGUUCUGUUCCCCACCAGGUAGUCAGUAAGUUUCUCAGAGUGUUCUGGUUGUGAGGGAUACCAACACUUGCUGCAAAAAAAUUCCAUAUGAAGCUAGCAAAAUUACCAUUAACUAAAAUAUGGUCAAUAUCAUCGAGACCAGGCCUGCUGCAGCAGGAGCAGUUGGCAGGUUCAGCUCCAAAUUUGAUGAUCCUCUCAUUAGUGGGGAGUUUGCUCCUAAUUGCCCUCCAAAGGAAAAAAGGACAUCUUGAAGGGAAUGUGCUUGUGCCAGAGUUUAUGGUUUAGAAUUUGGAUUUAGGGUUUAGGGUCUAAGGUUUAGCAUUUAGGGUUUAGGGUUUAUGCUUUAGGGUUUAGUGUUUAGGGUUUAGGGUUUAGGGUUUAGGUUAUAGGGUUUAGAGUAUAGAGUUAGUGUUUAGGGCUUAAGUUUUAGUUGUUAGUGUUUAGGGUUUAGGGUUUAGAGCUUAAGGUUUAGGGUAUAGGGCUUAGGGUGUAGGGUUAGGGUUUAUGGUUUUAAGUUUAGGAUUUAGGGUUUAGAGCAUAGGAUUUAGGGUUUAGGGUUUAUGCUUUAGGGUAUAGGGUUUAUGGUUUAUGAUUUAGGUUUUAGGGUUUUGGGUUUUUUUUUUUUUUUUUUUAUUUGAACGACCCUUGUUUUUUUUUUAUUGUUUUUUUUUUAUUUUUUUAUUUUAUUUGAACGACCCUUGGGGGGGACAGGGGCUUAGCAACACCCCAGGCCUUAGCAUAAAUAAAAACAAAAGAAGUACAAGGAGGGGGACAUAAACCUAACCUCCAAUCCUAUGAUGGUUCAUAAGUCGACCUUCCUACUAAGGAUAGUCAGCUUAUCCCCGUUCUAAGAAAAGGAAAAUCUAGACUCUAAGCACCUAAAAGAGAGGACUCCUCUCGAUACAAAGUAUCUAGAAAUCGUAAAUAAGGGAGACUCUCCCCUUACAAAAGUAAGAAAAGAAACCUAAACCUGUUCAAGAAAGCUAUAAUUAUUCAAACAUAGCCCGGUUGAAAAGGUUGCACAUGACUUCAAGGAGGUUGUUUAAUUCUUCUGAGUCUCUUUCUUCUGAAAUUCUGCAUACCCAUUUUUUCCAAAAUGUAACUUCCUCGAGAUGCGCCUGGUAGUUGCUGAUACGUGUAGAAAUGUUGAAUAAUAUCUUGUCUAUGACUCCAUUUAGAUAAAUGAUCAGCUGUACAAUUAGCUUCCCUAAAUGUAUGCUUGCAUUGGAAAUACUCGCACUGACUACUGAUAUUUUUAAGUUCUUGUAUGUACUGCCGAAGCUGGCACGGUGCUGGGCUGUUGUGGUUGAUCCAUUUGCUAAGUAGCUCGGAAUCCACCUCCAAGAUGAUCUUCUUGUAUCCAUGUUGCACACACCAAUUGACUCCAUGUGCAGCUGCCUGUAUCUCUGCUUUGUUGCUGGUACCAAAUCCAAGAGGUAUAGCAUAUGCAUAAACUAAGCUGCCUUGGCCAUCCCUUAGAAUUCCUCCUCCCCCAAUCUUUCCUGAAUUGGUAAGAGCACUACCAUCUGUAUUCAGCUUGUACACUCCCAUAGUAGGUUUGUCCCAGCCGACUGGAAUUACCUUAAGCUCAUGCCUGCAGUUCUCUAUCAUACUGAUCACGUCCUUCCAAUUGCUGGGCCAUUGUAAGUAUGGGAAUACCGUGAUAAAUAAUUGCAUCAUAUCUUUGAAUAUGAGGUACUUGACUCUACCAAUGCUGGACUGCUUGCCUCCAUAUUUAGCGGAGCACCUAUUUUUCCACAGAUUCCAGUAAAUAAAGAACCUGUUUUUCCACAGAUUCCAGCAAAUAAAGGUAGGGAGUGCUUGAUGUAAUAGUUUGUGAACCUCGUUGCUGUGUUGGCUACUUCUCCAUUUCAUCAGUAAGCAUCUCAAAGUGGUGCAUGAGUGUUCAAUUCCCAGAAGUGCUGCAUGGACUUUCCAAAUGUGGUUAGCAAAAUUUCCAGUCACAAGAAUGUGAUCAAUAUCAUCUCUCCCGGGUCUGUGACAGCAGUAGCAAUUGGCUGGCUCGAUUCCAAAACUGGCGAGCUUUUCGUUGGUUGGCAACUUGCUUCUCAAAGCUCUCCAAAUAAAGAAAGACACUUUGAAUGGGACAUUUUUAUGCCAUAUGAUAGUGUUGAUCAGAUCCUUGGCCUGCUUUUUUCUGAUAAUUUCCCAUGCAGAUGAUAUAGAGAAUUGGCCACUGUCUGCUGGAGUCCAGAUUGCUUUAUCAGGAGUUUCUUCCUGAUGUUGAAUAUGUGUAUUAAGAAUGAUAGGAACAAUGAGAGGAGGAGCAUGUUGUCUCACUAAACUUUCCUUCCAUUGUCCUUCUUCAAUAAAAUAAGAGACUUGGAGAUUAUUUAAGCUAGAAAUAUUGUCCAUGAGGUCAGCCAAAGGUCCAUUUCCAAGCCAAUUAUCCCACCAAAAGGAAGAGCUUCCUGAGUAUAUUUUCCAGGUAAUGUGAGGCUCCACACUGGGUCUGUUUUUAAGGAGAUAUUUCCAAACCAAAGACUGGCCCGUAUCCCAUUUCUUAGCCACUGGGUUGGCUCUUUGACAAUAUUUAGCUUUUAAAAAUUGACCCCAUAGCGAGUUCUUUGUCCUAAAGGUCCACCACUGUUUAUAUUGAAAGGAGGUACAAAUAUCAGAAAGGAGUCUCACCCCUAUACCUCCUUCAUCACACGGAUAGCUGAGAGUUUCCCAUGAGGCCCAAUGGUACUUUUUCUUUUCUUUGUCCAUUCCCCAGAAAAAAUCAGCUGUGAUGUUCUUCAGGCAUUUGAUAGUAGUUUUUGGAGGAGAUAUAGCAGCCAUAGUGUGAAUAGGAAUAGAUUGCAGAACAUGUUUCACUAAAGUGACUCUACCUCCAAAACUAAGAAUUCUGGAAUGCCAACCACUGAUUUUCUUGACCACUUUGUCCACCAGUUCAGAAUAAUAUAUGAUCCUUUGUCCACCAAUGUAUAGGGGGCACCCUAGGUAAUUAAUGGGACUCUCUUUCCUGCUAAACCCAGUGAUCUCCUGUAUCCCAGCAAUGAUAGCAGAACUGGUAUUUGAAGGGACCAUAAAAUGACUUUUGGACUUGUUUAGGAGUUGAUCAGAAACUGCCUCAUAAGUCGAGAUUGUCUUCAUAAUAAGCUGCACAGACUGCCUGGUUCCAGACGUAAAUAUGAUAAUAUCAUCAGCAAAACUUAAAUGGUUGAUUUGAGGGCCUCUGAGCUCCAUCUGGAACCCCUUAUACAUUUGAUUCUGAUGAAGAAGAUUCAGCAUUCUGGAUAAUACCUCAGCUCCUAAAAUAAAUAGAGCUGGGGAGAGGGGGUCACCUUGUUUGAGACCUCUUGUGGAGUGGAAAAAGCCAUGCCUUUUGCCAUUAAUGAUCACAGAGUACCAAUUGUUACUCAUAAUUCUCCAGACCCUGUCAAUGAAGAGCUCUCCAAACCCCAUUUUCCUCAAGACCAGACAAGUAUAGGACCAAGACACUCUGUCAUAUGCUUUUUCCAUGUCAAGCUUGAUCACAACAUUAUCUCCUUCUUUGGGUUUUUUAAUACCAUGGAUGAUUUCUUGGGCCAGCAUGAUGUUUUCAGAUAUGUUCCUUCCCCUAACAAAACCAGAUUGAUUUUCUGAAAUUAGGCUAGGGAGGAUAGGAGCAAGUCUGGUGCUUAAAAUUUUGGAAAUAAUUUUGUUAGAGAAGUUGCUGAGGCUGAUGGGUCUAAACUCAUUAAACUUGUUUGGAUGGUCCACUUUAGGGAGGAGAACCAAACAUGCAUGAGUCAUGAAUUUAGGCAUAAUGUGUCCAGUAAAAAAGGAUUGAACUGUAGCCAGUAAAUCUUCUUUAAUAAUAUCCCAACAAGACUGGUAGAAUUUUCCUCCUAUUCCAUCAGGACCUAGAGCUAAAUGAGGAUUCAUAGACAUUACUACCUGUUUCAACUCAUCCAUGGUUGGAAUGCUGUCAAGGGCCUGGUUCUGAUCUUGAGUAACCAUUCUGGGAAUGCACUGCAGAGCACCUUCACUGAUUCUGGCAGUAUGCCCAGUGAAUAUGUUCUGAAAGUAUUGACACGCUUCUUUAGCAAUGUUGUCAUCUCCUUGUAGCCAAUCUCCUUCAUCUGUACAGAUUUUAUGAAUGAAAAGUCUCCUCCUUCUUCCCCUCAUAAGUGCAUGAAAAUACUUGGUAUUUGCAUCCCCUUCCUUGAACCAAUGUAGCUGAGUUUUCUGUUUGAGGAUUGACUGUUCCAGCUUCAAAUAUCUAAUGUAUUGGGCAUUGAUGUUAUGCAGCUUGGACCUGUUUUCUUCAGUGUUAGCAGUGAUUAGAGUUUCUUCAGCACCUCUGACCUGUUCUUCAUACUCCUUUGCUUUUGCAAAUAUAUCCCCAUAUUCCAACCUUGACCAUUUACUCAGAGUGUUAGUUAGCCUCCUCAUUUUAGUGUGUAAGGACCACAUGGGAUUACCAGACACCUCCUUUUCCCAACAUUCCUUAACAGUUGCAUAGAAGUUAGGAUUUUCUGUCCAACAGUUAAGGAAUUUGAAAUACUUUGUAACCUGAUCUUGUCUCGUAGUCAUUUCCAACAAUAAGGGGCAAUGAUCUGACCCCACUGAUGGAAGAUGAGUAAUAGUGGUUUGGGGCAUACUUUCAAGCCAUUUAUCAUUCACCAUGGCCCUAUCAAGCCUCUUCCAAAUCCUAGCCUCCUCAGCUCUUUGAUUGCACCAAGUGAAUGGUUGACCAUUGUAUCCAAUGUCAAUCAAGCCACAAGCCUCAAUGACACUAAUAAACUCAUAGCUCUUAUUCAUGUUGUAUUCCCUGCCUCCUUGUUUCUCUUGAGUGGAAGUAAUCACAUUGAAGUCUCCAAUAGUGCACCAAGGAAGAUUAAUUUCAGAAACUUACAGUAGUUUAUCCCACAAAGGUCUCCUAAGUUGAUCUUCGCAUUUGGCAUAUACAUAAGAAAUAAUAAAUUUCUCUGGGUAAUCUGAAUGCUUCAGUUCACAGGUAGUGUGCUGCUCAUCAGUAUCAAGAACAUUACAAUCCAACUCUCCAGCCCAAAAAAGCCAAAUUUUAGCAUUAGGAUUACUGUGAGCCUUGUCCAUAUUAAGCUGAAUUCUAUAGCUAUUGAUUUGCGAGCUAUCUGCAAAAGGUUCAAGAAUUACGAUCAUAGUAAGAUUGUGCAUUUUCUUGAGAGUUUGAAUCCUUUCCAAAGAUCCUUGGGUGUUGAUACUCCUAGCAUUCCAGCAAAGGGUUGUGAUCAUCAUAAACCUCUACUUUUAGCUCUUGUAUUUGGUCUACUAAUUGUAGCAGAUGUGCUGUUAGAUUUAGUGGUUUGUCUUGUUUCCUUUCUUCCUCUAGGAGAUAAACCUUGUUUCCCGGUGAUUUCUUGAACCUCUUCUUGAUAUUCAGUGUGGAAUGUGGAGCCAAAGGCCUUAAUUAACUGAUUACUGAUCUCCUCCUCUUCAUCCUCAACAACAUCAAUGGACUGCGUGUCUUGGUCAUAUUCAUCCUUAGAAUUGUUGACCCCAUAUUCAUCAAAUUCCUCCUCAACCUCAUUUUUUCUCUGUUGCUCCUUGUCUGGAUCAGAUUCUUUUUGUUGUCUCUUUUUUAUAGCAUCUCUCCUUUUUUUGCUCAACCUGGCUUGAGCCUUAUUGUUAAGAGGCUUAUCAGGUGGUUCCCCUGGAACCUUAGAGUGCUGGGGAGUCUGAAAAUUUAUUCCUUCCUUCUCUUGUGGAAUACCAGUAAUGUGCUUCCCUGUGAUACCUGCUUGUAGCUGUCCCUGAGGACUAAUUUCUGCAACUUGAUUUUCCUUGCCUGUACUCUGUAUAUGCUGAUCCUCUGCAUGCUGAUUUUGUGUCUGGCUCUUCCUGUUCUGAGGGGUAGCAGGGGCUCUAUAGUCUCUAAGAUGGUCAGUGUAUUCCCCCUCAUGCAGAACAUGAGUCAAUUCCCUCCCUUUGGUUACCCCAUCCUGCAGGUUAGUUGGUUUCUCCUGUAUCCCUCCAACCAUCCCUCCAGAGACUUCAACAACAUGCACAGCAUGCUCCACAUGCAGAAUAUUGGGGUCAUGGGGUGUUGGGAGACUUAAGUCAAUACCUGUAGUCUUGCUAUGAUGACUGACUGCAUCUUGGUUUUUCUGAAUAUGUUUUGUGCUGUGGUGAUUUGUUGAUGGUGGAUCCUUACUUGAUUCGUACUUUGCUUGAUCUUCUUGUUCCUCUGGUUGAUUAUUGGUGUCCUCUCCAUCCUUGCCUGUAGUAUGUUGUUCCUGCAUAUCUAAAUCACUAUAAAUGUUAUGAGUAGAAAUGAUGUGAGUCAUACCUGUUCGAGCUGCUUGUUAUGGGCCUUGGUCCCUGUUUUCCUUAUUUUGGGGUGAUCUUGGCCUCCACACAGUUUUGGUAUUGCCUUGGUCCUGAUUGUUAUGCUGUUUCCUUUUCUGAAUCUGCCACUGGUCAUCCUGUUCAUGAUCUUCCUUUUCCUUUUAUGGAUCAGAUUUGGAGCUAUGCUAAUGGAAUCACUUGAGGUCCAAACUAUGUUAAAUAAAACAAAAUGAAAUUAAAGCCCAACAGCCAAAUCUGCCAAGGCCCAAUAUAUUUAAGCCCAAGUGAAAGUUAGUAGGUGCAUCACCUAGUUUGACCUUUUGAGUUGCUUGAUAUACAUAAGUAGGUGCAUCACCUACUUGACCAAUUAGUGGCAGAAAAUGAAGCUUUCUAGUGGAUAUUCUUAAAGGUGAAGAAAGCUAAAUAUAAAGAUAUAUUGGCUGCUAUUCUCACUCAUUUUAACACACAUUAUUGAGGAUUAGCUUUAGCUAUUUCUCUCUCUUUUCUCUUAAGGAUUAAACAGCAGCCCUAAAGUUCUUCUAGGGUUCUUGAAGAAACCCUCAUCUCUGCAAGACAAGGUAAGUGAAAACACUUCUGGAUUCAGCUUAAUUCUCCCAUGGAUGAUUAGGAAAACAUGUUAUUCAUGCCUCCCUGAUGUGGCUCUUCCUGGAAGUGAGAACACUGCUGCCCGACCAAGGAAAUAAGGAGAGGGAUUGAAAGGGGUUAUGAAUUCCAUUGAGUUAGCCCUACUUGAUCGAAUCAGCCAGCCUUUUCCGUUCCGCCUGCGACCCCUUUAGAAUUAAAAUUCCGCUGGAAUUGGUGUGCUUGAAUGUAGAUUGGGAAGUGCGAGAGAGCAGCCCCCGUUCUAACCAAAUUUCCUUCUUUCUCUAUUAAGCAAGUCCCCAUUCUAUUCGGCUGGCGUAUAGGUAUAACGGCAUAAUAUUUCCAGAAGAUACUGCUCACUUCCUUNNNNNNNNNNNNNNNNNNNNNNNNNNNNNNNNNNNNNNNNNNNNNNNNNNNNNNNNNNNNNNNNNNNNNNNNNNNNNNNNNNNNNNNNNNNNNNNNNNNNNNNNNNNNNNNNNNNNNNNNNNNNNNNNNNNNNNNNNNNNNNNNNNNNNNNNNNNNNNNNNNNNNNNNNNNNNNNNNNNNNNNNNNNNNNNNNNNNNNNNNNNNNNNNNNNNNNNNNNNNNNNNNNNNNNNNNNNNNNNNNNNNNNNNNNNNNNNNNNNNNNNNNNNNNNNNNNNNNNNNNNNNNNNNNNNNNNNNNNNNNNNNNNNNNNNNNNNNNNNNNNNNNNNNNNNNNNNNNNNNNNNNNNNNNNNNNNNNNNNNNNNNNNNNNNNNNNNNNNNNNNNNNNNNNNNNNNNNNNNNNNNNNNNNNNNNNNNNNNNNNNNNNNNNNNNNNNNNNNNNNNNNNNNNNNNNNNNNNNNNNNNNNNNNNNNNNNNNNNNNNNNNNNNNNNNNNNNNNNNNNNNNNNNNNNNNNNNNNNNNNNNNNNNNNNNNNNNNNNNNNNNNNNNNNNNNNNNNNNNNNNNNNNNNNNNNNNNNNNNNNNNNNNNNNNNNNNNNNNNNNNNNNNNNNNNNNNNNNNNNNNNNNNNNNNNNNNNNNNNNNNNNNNNNNNNNNNUUUCCCCCUCUCCUUAGUGUAUAGAAUUACUUCAUUACAUGUUUAGUACUCUAUACUUGUGUAAUUAUCCUCCUAUGUGUUGGUAUAUAUAUGGUAUUUGUAAAAGCAAUUUUGGUGAAUCCUUCUCUUAGUCAGCUGAAGUCAAUUGUGUCAUUUAAGCUCACAAGUAAUGCAUUGAUGUUACAUAGCUCCUNNNNNNNNNNNNNNNNNNNNNNNNNNNNNNNNNNNNNNNNNNNNNNNNNNNNNNNNNNNNNNNNNNNNNNNNNNNNNNNNNNNNNNNNNNNNNNNNNNNNNNNNNNNNNNNNNNNNNNNNNNNNNNNNNNNNNNNNNNNNNNNNNNNNNNNNNNNNNNNNNNNNNNNNNNNNNNNNNNNNNNNNNNNNNNNNNNNNNNNNNNNNNNNNNNNNNNNNNNNNNNNNNNNNNNNNNNNNNNNNNNNNNNNNNNNNNNNNNNNNNNNNNNNNNNNNNNNNNNNNNNNNNNNNNNNNNNNNNNNNNNNNNNNNNNNNNNNNNNNNNNNNNNNNNNNNNNNNNNNNNNNNNNNNNNNNNNNNNNNNNNNNNNNNNNNNNNNNNNNNNNNNNNNNNNNNNNNNNNNNNNNNNNNNNNNNNNGUAACAUACAUGAUCCCACAAGAUUUAACAAAGGUGGUCUUCUGUUCUGAUUUAUGCACAUAUAUUGAUACUUGGUUUCAUUCAAACUCUUAAUUUAUAUAUGUUAUUGCCUUACAUAUUUAGUUCAUUUUCUCGUACUGACGUCCCUCACGGGGGACGCUGUAUUUCAUGCUGCACGCAUAUGUACUUCAGCUAGUAGACCUCUUUGGUAAGAGCACACGACACUCAACUACUUUUGGUGAGCUCCAGAUUGAUUCGGAGCUUUACUGAUUCUUUGGUAGAUUCAUUUUGGGUAUUGUAUCGUAGUUAAGAGUAAGGCAGAGUCUGUCCCGACCUACUCAAAGGUUUUCUAUCUUUUAGAGGCUUUGUAGACUUAUGUUUAUGGUUCAGUUGUGUCUUAACAAGUUGUGGCCUCAACGGCCAAGUCUUGUAUAUAAGUUUUGAGUCUACUUAUGUUGGUUCGUAUCACUGCAUCCUAUGUGAACUUGUCACAAGAUUGUCAUACUUAUAUGCAUAGUAAGCACACGUUACAUGUUGGUUCUCUCGGGCCUAGAGGGCAUCUGGUGCCUGUCCGUCUUAAUAGGAUUUGGGACGUGACAAAAGUUGUAUCAGAGCAGGUCAUCCUAGGGAGUCUACAAAGCCGUGUCUUUGUAGAGUACUUCUUAUGGAUGUGUUGUGCACCACAUUUAUAAACAUGAGGCUACGGGACACGUAGGAGUUGUCUCCUUUCUUUCAUUUCUUAGAUCGUGCGAUAGAACCAGUGUUGUAGGCGAAUCAUAUCUAAUUCCUAAAUUGUUUAUUAUAGCAAGGAUGCCGGUUACGAGAAGGAGCAAAAGUACUGGUAAGCGAGUAGGUGUGGCUGCCUGAGAAGGGACCAGCCAACCACCACCUACUCAAGCUGUACAAGGUGAGGCUCAAGAUGAGUCUCCCUCACAGAUUUCCCCGACCCCUCCAUCUCCAGAAGAUCUAAGGAGGGAAGCUGCACUUCAAGAACCCCCUAUUAAUGCUACCGAGCAAGAAUUGAAGAAUGCGGUCCAAUUAUUGACUCGUAUAGUUGCUGGCCACGGUCAAAGGCAAGAAGGUCCAGUUACAGGUACUAGUGGUGUAGAUAGAGCAGCUGGCACGCGGAUACGUGAUUUCCUUAAUUUGGACCCUCCAUCAUUCAUCGGGGCAGAUCCUAAUGAAGAUCCACAAGACUUUAUAGAUCAGAUCCAACACACUUUCGAUGUUAUGCAUGUAAGUGGUAAAGAAGCGCUCGAGCUAGCAGCAUAUAGACUAAAGGGUGUGGUUGUAUUGUGGUAUGAAGCUUGGAAGAAAUCCAGGGGAACAGAUGCACCAUCAGCUACAUGGAAAGAGUUCAAAAAGGCAUUCCUUGACCAUUACCUGCCAUUGGAGAUCCGAGAGGCCCGUGCGGAUCAAUUUUUACAUCUCCACCAAGGAAGUAUGAGUGUGAGAGAGUACAUUCUCAAAUUUAAUUCCUUGGCCAGGUAUGCUCCUAAUGUAGUAGCUACUAUGGGGGAUAGAGUUCAUCGAUAUGUGGAUAAAUUAGAUUCAUAUCUGGUUAGAGACUGUACCAUUGCUUCGUUGAAUAAAGAUAUGGAUAUAGCAAGGAUGCUUUGCGCAAAAGUUGGGGGAUCAAAGUCAAAGAAGAAGGACACAAGAGUCAGAAACAGGGCAUAAUAAGAGGGCCAAAUCCAUGGGGUAGUUUACACCAUCCCAAGGUGAGUUUAGGCCUCGGUUCUUUAACAGACCCCCUAGGCCAUCAUCUUCCUACUCCACAGCUAGUGCCCCACCUCAGUUUCAAGAGUCUAGGGGCAAUCAGUUUGGGCAAAGAGGUGAAAGCCAAGGUUCACGAACAACGGGGUACCAAGAACAGGGAAGUAUGAGCCAAUCAAGACCUCCUCGACAGUCUUGUAAACAAUUUGGAAGAAAUCAUUUAGGUGCAUGUCGGUUUGGGACAAAUGUUUAUUUUUGGUGUGGUACACCAGGUCAUAUGAUGAGAAAUUGCCCUCAUAGGGGUGUGGGUGGUGUGGCACAACCUACUAGAUCAAUUCUUGCAUUCUCAUCAUCAACACCUUCUUUAGGUAGGGGAAAAAUGCCUAGUGGUCGUGGUAUAGGAGCAACCAGUUCUAGUGGAGUUCAGAAUCGCACAUAUGCUCUCGGGGAUCGACAAAAUUUAGAAGCCUCACCGGAUGUGGUUACAGGUACAUUGUUCAUCUUUUCACAUAUUGUAUAUGUAUUAAUUGAUCCGGGGUCUACACUAUCAUAUGUUACUCCAUUGAUUGCUGAAAAGUUCAGAAGAACAGUAGAAUUAUUAGUGAAGCCAUUUGAAGUGUCUAUACCGAUUGGUGAGUCUAUUAUAGCUUGAAGGGUUUAUCGUAAUUGUAUUGUAACUGUUUGUGAUCGUGAUACAUUGGCUGACCUUGUUGAGCUAGAAAUGGUGGAUUUUGAUGUUAUAAUGGGUAUGGAUUGGUUAGCUUCUUGUUAUGCCACGGUCGAUUGCCGAACUAAGAUGCUGCAUUUCCAUUUUCCAAAAAGAUGUCGUCCUUGAAUGGAAAGGUAAUAUUGGGACACCAAGAGGUAAAUUUAUUUCUUAUCUUAAAGGCAAAGAAGAUGAUGUCCAAAUGAUACAUAUGUCAUCUAGUGAGAGUGAAGAAUAUAGAUGUUGAGCCACUAUCUCUUCAAUCAAUUCCAGUGGUAAAUGAAUUUCCUGAUGUAUUUCCUGAAGAUCUUCCGGGUUUACCUCCAGAAUGAGAAGUAGAGUUUGGUAUUGAUGUGAUUCCAGAUACUCAACCUAUAUCCAUCCCUCCAUAUAGAAUGGCCCUGGCAGAAUUACGGGAGUUGAAGGAGCAAUUAAAAGACUUAUUAGAUAAAGGAUUCAUAAGGCCUAGUAUGUCCACAUAAGGAGCACCAAUUUUAUUUGUACGUAAGAAAGAUGGCUCGUUAAGAAUGUGUAUCGACUACCGACAGUUGAAUAAGGUAACGAUUAAGAACAAAUAUCCCCUCCCUAGAAUUGAUGAUUUGUUUGAUCAGUUACAAGGUGCUAGGUGUUUUUCAAAAAUCGACAUGAGGUCAGGUUAUCACCAAGUGAGGUUCAAAGACAAAGAUAUACCCAAGACAGCUUUCCGAACACGGUAUGGUCAUUUUGAGUUUUUAGUCUUGUCAUUCGGGCUAACGAAUGCACCAACAGUUUUUUAUGGAUUUGAUGAAUAGGGUGUUCAAGCCAUUUUUAGAUGUGUUCGUGAUAGUAUUCAUAGAUGACAUUUUGGUGUAUUCAAGAUCGGAAGAGGUCCAUGCUAAUCACCUGCGGCAGGUUUUACAAAUUCUUCGUGAUCGUAAGUUGUAUGCAAAGUUCUCUAAAUGUGAGUUCUGGUUAAAAUCUGUGACAUUCUUAGGUCAUAUUGUAUCCGAUGAAGGAAUAAGGGUUGAUAACCAGAAGAUAGAAGCCGUGAAAAACUGGCCAAGACCUACAAUGCCUACGGAGAUCCGUAGUUUCCUUGGAUUGGCAAGUUAUUACAGAAGGUUCGUUGAAUGAUUCUCUUCCAUUGCUGCACCCUUAACAAAGCUAACACACAAAGAAAACAAAUUUCAAUGGAGUGAUGAAAGUGAAAGAAGCUUCCAAGAGCUGAGGAAUAAAUUAACUUCUACACCUGUAUUGGUACUUCCAGAAGGAACAGAAGGGUAUGCAGUGUAUUGCGAUGCUUCAGGAAUGGGCCUAGGAUGUGUAUUGAUGCAACAUGGUAAAGUAAUAGCUUAUGGUUCAAGGCAGUUGCGGCCACAUGAGAAAAAUUAUCCAACCCAUGAUCUAAAGCUAGCAGCAGUUGUCUUUGCUUCGAAGAUAUGACGCCACUACUUAUAUGGAGUUCAUGUUGACAUAUACACUGAUCACAAGAGUUUGCAAUAAAUCUUUUGGGCCUAGGAUGUGUAUUGAUGCAGCAUGGUAAAGUAAUAGCUUAUGGCUCAAGGCAGCUGCGGUCACAUGAGAAAAAUUAUCCAACUCAUGAUCUAGAGCUAGCAGCAGUUGUAUUUGCUUUGAAGAUAUGAUGCCACUACUUGUAUGGAAUUCAUGUUGAACUAUACACUGAUCACAAGAGUUUGCAAUAUAUCUUUAAGUAAAAGGACCUAAAUCUGAGGCAGCGAAGAUCGGUGGAGCUAUUAAAAGAUUAUGACAUGGAUAUCUUGUAUUAUCCCGGGAAAGCAAAUGUAGUAGCUGAUGCGUUAAGUCGUAAAAUAAUGGCAAGCACUUAUGGGCAGUCUGUGGAAAGACAAGGAAUAACUAAGGAUCUAUGUCAACUAGCUAGCUUGGGGGUUCACCUUUUUGAAUCUCCAGACGAAGGGGUUAAUGUGCAAAAUGCGGCAGAAUCCUCAUUAGUAGUGGAAGUGAAAGAGAAGCAGUACACUGAUCCUAUUCUAUUAAAGUUUAAGGAGAAUGUACAAUAGGGUAUGACAAAGGCAUUUGAGCUUACGUAAGAGGGAGUACUUCGAUGUCAAAACAGAUUGUGUGUACCUAAUGUAGAUGAAUUAAGACAGAGAAUUAUGAUGGAAACACAUCAUUCGAGAUAUUCUGUCCAUCUGGGGUCAACUAAAAUGUAUCAUUUCUUGAAAGAAAUGUAUUGGUGGGGGGAAAUGAAGAAGAACAUUGCAGAAUUUGUGGCUCAAUGUCCAAAUUGUCAACAAGUAAAAGUAGAGCACCAAAAACCCGGAGGUUAUCUACAAUGUAUAGAACUUCCAAUUUGGAAGUGGGACAUGAUCAACAUGGAUUUUGUCACUGGUUUACCUCGUUCAUUUCGGAAGUUUGAUUCUAUAUGGGUAAUUGUUGAUAGAUUGACCAAAUCAGCGCACUUCUUGCCGGUCAAGACUACUUAUACAGUCGAAAAAUAUGCGAGGUUGUAUAUUAAAGAGAUAGUUCGUCUACAUGGAGUGCCAAUCUCUAUUAUAUCGGAUCGGGGAGCUCAAUUCACUGCAAAAUUUUUGGAAGUCAUUUCAGAAGAGUUUAGGAACACAAGUGAAUUUAAGUACAUCCUUUCAUCCUCAAAUAGACGGUUAGGCAGAGCGUACAAUUCAAACACUUGAGGAUAUACUGCGAGCUUGUAUAUUGGACUUCAAAGUUAAUUGGGAUGAUCAUUUGCCAUUGAUCGAGUUUGCAUACAACAAUAGCUACCAUUCAAGCAUUAAAAUGGCACCUUAUGAAGCUUUAUAUGGUAGAAAAUGUAGAUCCCCAAUUGGCUUGUUCGAAAAAGUAAAACUGCCUUAUUUGGGCCAGAUCUUGUUCAUCAAGCUAUGGAAAAAGUCAAAGUGAUACAGUAGCGGCUAGAAACAGCUCAAAGUUGACAUAAAUCAUAUGCGGAUGUUAGAAGGAGAGGACUAGAAUUUUCUAUAGGGGAUUGGGUGUUCUUGAAGGUGUCACCAAUGAAAGGGGUAAUGAGGUUUGGUAAAAAGGGAAAGUUGAGUCCACGCUAUAUAGGGCCAUAUAAGGUUAUUCGAAGAAUUGGCCAAGUUGCAUAUGAGUUAGAGUUACCUCAAGGGCUAUCAACUGUUCAUCCGGUGUUUCAUGUAUCAAUGCUUUGAAAAUGCGUAGGUAACCCAUCUCGUAUUACUGCUACUAAAGAUGUACAAGUUACGAGAGAUCUCACUUAUGAAGAAGUACCCAUUGCUAUUCUUGAUCGACAAGUUAGGAAGUUAAGAAAUAAAUAAGUAGCUUCUGUAAAAAUAUUAUGGAGGAACCAACAAGUAGAAGAAGUUAUAUGGGAAGCGGAAGAGGCAAUGAAAUUGAAGUAUCAUCAUCUCUUCCAAACCGAUGAGAAAGAUUAAAAUGAUGAGUUGAGGCGUUAACAAGUAAGUAUAAGUCUAUAAUUUCAAUGUGAUUAACAGUAGUACUAACUUAGGCUUGAACUUGUUUGGGCUGGAUAAUCAUGCUAACAUUCGAGGACGAAUGUUUUAAGGGGGGAAGGAUGUAACAACCCGUAUUAUGCAUAUGCUUAUUCUAUUCUUGUGAUACUUGAUAUAGCCUUAUAGUAUAGGUGAGGGACCAUAUUUCUUAUAUGAUUAGCGUUGGUUUAAACUAGCUCGGAAAGUGAUGUGAAGCCUUGCACGUUGCAGUAUGUGUACUGCAAGUUAUCACUCCAACGGAAGUAUUUAAACUCGAGAUGGGAAGGUGGUAAUUGAGCUUAAAGUUGAAAGUUAAGUGCUAAGUUAAAGAAAAAGAGAUUAAUAAUAAGAGAAUUGAAUAAAAUAGGUGAGCUGCUUGCUUGACUUAACUAAGCUAGUAGGUGACAAGUAGGUGCAUCACCUACUUUGACUUAUUGACCAGUCCAAAGAACCAAGUAGGUGCAAUAACUACUUGAGCUAUAUGGAUCUAGUUAAAAUGGCCAAGGUUUAUGGAUCAGAUUUGGGCCUAUGCUAAUGGACUCACUUGAGGCCCAAACUAAGUUAAAUAAAAGGAAAAUGAAAUUNNNNNNNNNNNNNNNNNNNNNNNNNNNNNNNNNNNNNNNNNNNNNNNNNNNNNNNNNNNNUUAUAAGGAGAAGUUGCAGAAAUUGAGGUAAGGUGACUGCUCCAUUUUCUUCCUCUUUAUGUAUGAGUUUGAGUGAGGAAUUAUGGGUGUGCUGUCAUAAAAGAACUCAAGGGGUGGUGAGUUCAAUAAUUGAUUAUAUGAUAAAGAAUAUUUAAGGAUGUUUUAUGUGUAUUGUUGUUGGUACAGCUUAGGAAAUCUUGGAAAAUGAUAUAUAAUGUAUGUAUUGGGCAAAGAAGGAGGGUGUGGUGAUACACUUUGUUUUAAGGGCUAUAUGAGCUCAUUUUCCGUCAAAGUUAGCUACUGUUUUACGAGGCUCGUGGUGUGAUAGCUGCUAAUUUAAGUUUAUUAUGACUUAUACUGUAGAUUAAAACCUGAAAGGGGAGGCUGAAUCGUGAUAGUUGUAUUGAUCAGAAGAUAAGAUAGUGAUUAGGAAAACAUGUUAUUCAUGCUCAAGUAUAGGUAUAACGGCAUAAUAUUUCCAGAAGCUACUGCUCAGNNNNNNNNNNNNNNNNNNNNNNNNNNNNNAUACUUGCGAUUAAUAUCAAUAAGUGAAUUUCCUAAGUUCUAUUCCUAGUAAAGGAAACAUAGUGGCAGCGUAUGAUCUCCAAAUAGCUAUCAAUAUUUUCCCCUCUCCUUAGUGUAUAGAAUUACUUCAUUACAUGUUUAGUACUCUAUACUUGUGUAAUUAUCCUCUUAUGUGUUGGUAUAGAUAUGGUAUUUGUAAAAGCAAGUUUGGUGAAUCCUCUUCUUAGUCAGCUGAAGUCAAUUGUGUCAUUUAAGCUCACAAGUAAUGCAUUGAUGUUACAUAGCUCCUUAUGUCAUUGUUACUGCCUUGAAGUAUUAUUUUCAUGUCUUCUACUACUGGUCCAUAGUUCCAAAUAUAAAAAUGAUUAUGACCAACAAAACAACAAUCUCAAAGAUUAAAGAUUCUAAGUAAAGAAAUCUGUAUAAUAAGGAUGGCAGCUCAGGGGCGGAAGCCUAGCCUGGGCCAAUCCCAAUUGGUAUAGAAGGGUGGCAGCUCAGGGGUGAAAGCCUAGCAUAGGNNNNNNNNNNNNNNNNNNNNNNNNNNNNNNNNNNNNNNNNNNNNNNNNNNNNNNNNNNNNNNNNNNNNNNNNNNNNNNNNNNNNNNNNNNNNNNNNNNNNNNNNNNNNNNNNNNNNNNNNNNNNNNNNNNNNNNNNNNNNNNNNNNNNNNNNNNNNNNNNNNNNNNNNNNNNNNNNNNNNNNNNNNNNNNNNNNNNNNNNNNNNNNNNNNNNNNNNNNNNNNNNNNNNNNNNNNNNNNNNNNNNNNNNNNNNNNNNNNNNNNNNNNNNNNNNNNNNNNNNNNNNNNNNNNNNNNNNNNNNNNNNNNNNNNNNNNNNNNNNNNNNNNNNNNNNNNNNNNNNNNNNNNNNNNNNNNNNNNNNNNNNNNNNNNNNNNNNNNNNNNNNNNNNNNNNNNNNNNNNNNNNNNNNNNNNNNNNNNNNNNNNNNNNNNNNNNNNNNNNNNNNNNNNNNNNNNNNNNNNNNNNNNNNNNNNNNNNNNNNNNNNNNNNNNNNNNNNNNNNNNNNNNNNNNNNNNNNNNNNNNGUACUCCCGCUAGUAGACCUCCUCAGUAGGAGCAUACGACACUCAGCUACUUUUGGUGAGCUCCAGAUUGAUUCGUAACUUUACUGAGUCUUUGGUAGAUUCAUUUUGGGUAUUGUAUCGUAGUUCAGAGUAAGGCGGGGUCUGUCCCGACCUACUCAAAGGUUUUCUAUCUUUUAGAGGCUUUGUAGACUUAUGUUUAUGGUUCAGUUGCGUCUUAACAAGUUGUGGCCUCAACGGCCAAGUCUUGUAUAUAAGUUUUGGGUCUACUUAUGUUGGUUCGUAUCGCUGCAUCCUAUGUGAACUUGUCACAAGAUUGUCAUAGUUAUAUGCAUAGUAAUCACUUUUUACAUGUUGGCUCUCUCGGGCCUAGAGGGCAUCGGGUGCCUGUCCGUCUUAAUGGGAUUUGGGACGUGACACUGAGCAACACCCCCAGGCCUUAUCAUAAAUAAAAGAAAAAGUACAAGGAGGGGGACAUAAACCUAACCUCUGGACCUAUGGUGGCUCAGUAGUCGACCUUCCACUAGGGCUAGUCAACUCAUCCUCUUACAAAAGGAUAAACCAAGAAACUAAGUACCUAAAAGAGAGGACUUCUCUCAAUACAUAGAAUCUAGGAAUCAUAAACAAGAGAGACUCUCCCUUUACAAAAGUAAACAAAAAACUAUACCUAUUCAAAGGAGCUAUAAUAUUUAACCAUAGCUAAGUUGAAAAGGUUGCAUUUUACUUAGGGUGUUCUUUGAUCUUUUUAAUCUUCCUUCGUCUGAAACUUGCCAUUUCAUGCAUGUGUAGUUGAUAGUAAGCUCUUGCUUCCUUUGGUAGUUGAUGACUAUUGAAAUAAAGUUGAGGGCUAGUGAUUUUGUGGCUGUGUUUUGAAAGGGAAUCAACAACAAAAUUGGCUUCUCUGAAGGUGUGUUUGAAUCUAAACUCGUGUGCUUGUUUAAUGAGAGCUUGUAGCUUCAAUAUUUGUGUAUUGAUACUCCAAUGAGGGUUGGCUUUGUGCAUUAUCCAGUCCACCAGAAGCUGUGAUUCCACCUCCAAAAGAACUUUCCUGUAUCCUAAUUCUAAGGACUAGGUCAUCCCAAAUAUAACUGCUUCUACUUCAGCUUGGUUGUUAGUACCUUCCCCUAAUGGAGUGGCAAAUUCUAUCAAUAUUUCUUCGUCUUGAUCCCUUAAUAUACCUCCUGCUCCAGUUCUGCCAGGAUUAGCUAAUGCACUGCCAUCCGUGUUGAUUUUUACCCACUGAUUUGGAGGUUUUAUCCACCUAACAAGGGUUACUUUGGUAUCAUGCACACAUUUUCCCCCAAGCUGAAUCAGGUCCCUCCAGUUCGAAGGCCAUUUUAUGUGAGGGAAGGUUGUAGUCAUGAGCUUGUAAUUGUCCUUAUAGAUUGCAUAUUUGACUCUACUAACAUUGGAUUGCUUGCCUCCAUAUUUGCUAGAACAUCUAUUCUUCCAUAGGUUCCAACAAAUGAAUAUUGGUGUAGCUUGUAAUAACAGCCUAUGUGCUUCAUUAUUGUAUUUGGCUGACCACCAUUGCAUGAUGAAUUGAAGUAGGGAGCUGUGAUCUGUGAUAAUUCCAGCAUUUGCAGCAAAGCUUUUCCACACGUAACACGUAGGUAGCAAAGUGACCAUUGUUGAAGGUGUGCUCGAUUGUAUCCAUACCUGGCCUGUUACAACAACAAAAACAACUGGCUGGUUCACUACCAAAACUGGUUAGUUUCCAGAUCGCCUGGUCUGGGAGAUCUUGCUGAAUGUGAAGCUCUGUGGAUAUUAUGUUGGUUAAUUGACUACUGGGUGCCUGUUGGAUGAGCAUACUCCAGUUCCACUGUCCCUCAUGCCAAAAUUCUGCUACAGUAGUAUUGUUGAAUCUAUUACUGUCAGCAGAGAAUUAAGCAAGAGGUCCAACACCAAGCCAAUUAUCCCACCAAAAGGAGCAAAUGCCCGAGUUGAGUUUCCAUUGAAUGUGUGAUUCCACUUUGUGUUUGUUGUGCAUUCGAUGUUUCCAAGUCAAAGAUUCACCUGUAUCCCAUUUUUUACUAAUAGGAUUAGAUAUUUGACAAUACUUGGCCCUUAAAAAAUCUCCCCAAAAUGUUCGUUUGGAUCUAAAAAUCCACCAUUGUUUAUAUUGGAAUGACUUGCAAACAUCUUUGAGAUUCCUCAUACCAACACCUCCCUCAUCAUAAGGAAAGCUUAAAUUCUUCCAUGACGCCUAAUGAUAUUUUUUCCUCUCAUUCCUCCAUCCCCAGAAAAAGUCUGCCAUGAUACAUUGAAUCUGUUUAAGGACAGUAACUGGUGGAGUCACUGCUGAAAGGAGAUAUAUAGGUAAUGACUGCACUACAUGCUUGAUGAGGACUAAUUUACCACCAUAGCUCAAUAAUUUUAUUUGCCAACCUGUAAUCCUGCACAACACUUUUUUAAUAAGAUCAGAAAAAUAUAUAAUCCUAGGUCAACCAACAAAUAAAGGACAACCAAGGUAAGUGAUAGGGCCCUCCUUAUGUUUGAAACCAGUGAUUCUUUUGAUUCUAUCCCUUGUGCUAUUGAAUGCAUUAGUGUGGAUCAUAAAGUGACUCUUGUCUAUGUUAACAAGUUGGCCUAAAGUCUCCUCAUAAGACUUCAAAGUUUGCAUAAUGAGGUUUAGAUUUCUUUGUCUUCCAGAAGUGAAGAGAAUGAUAUCGUCUGCAAAACUUAAGUGAUUCACUUGGGGACCUCUGGAUUCCAUGAAGAAACCAUGAUAAUCCAGAUUGUUGUGGAGACUGUUCAGAGAUCUAGAAAGGGCCUCCGCACCUAAAAUAAAUAGGGCGGGAGAUAACGAAUCCCCUUUCUUGAGACCUCUAGUGGAAUGAAAAAAACCAUAUCUUUUGCGAUUGAUUAUAAUUGAGUACCAAUUAUUAGCCAUAAUCCUCCAAACCAUGUCAAUAAAGACUUCUUCAAACCCCAUUCUUCUCAGGACCAAGCAUAUAUAGGACCAAGAAACCCUAUCUUAUGCUUUAGCCAUAUCCAACUUAAUGAUCACAUUGCUCCCAAUAUUAGGCUUCUUAAUCUGGUGAAUAAUCUCUUGGGCCAACAUAAUGUUUUCUGAUAUGCUCCCUUUGACAAAUCCAGAUUGGUUGAGGGAAAUCAAACUAGGUAGAAUAGGACCAAGUUUGUAGCUCAAUAGUUUAGAAAUGAUUUUGCUAGUGAAAUUACUUAAACUAAUGGGUCUGAACUCAGUGAAUUUGUUUGGAUUGUUCACUUUAGGAAGGAAGACAAUGCAAGAGUGAGAAAAAUAUUUAGGGAUCAUUUGGCCAUAGAAGAAAGCUUGAAUGACACCAAAGAGGUCAUGCUUAAUUAUAUGCCAACAUUUCUGAAAAAAAUAGCCAUUCAUCCCAUCAGGACCAGCUGUUGAAUUAGGAUUCAUAGAGAAAACCACUUUCUUCAACUCUUCUAGAGUGGGCAUGGUAGUAAGACUAUUAUUUUGCACUUGGUUGACUAUCCUAGGGAUACAAUUGAUAGCAUUCUCAUUGAUAACCUUAUCCACACCUGUAAAAAUAUUUUGGAAAUGCUCACAAGCAGCCUUUGCAUUUUUUCAUCUCCCUGUAUCCAUUCCCCAUUAUCCCUGGUAAUUUUGUGAAUAAACAAUUUUCUUAUCCUGCCUCUUAUCAGUGAGUGAAAAGAUUUGGUGUUAGCAUCACCUUCCUUGAACCACUGUAAUUGAGUUUUCUGUUUCAAAAUGGAGUCCUCCAUUUUCAAAAAUCUGAUGUACUCUGCAUUUAAUUCAUGAAGUGUUGCUCUAUUAUUUUCAUUGUGAUCUUGAAUAAGAUGCUCUUCAGCAACCCUGACCUUCUCCACAUAGUCCUUGACCUUAGAGAAAAUAUCACCAAAUUCCCUUCUCGACCAAGAGCUAAGAGUAUUGGACAGCCUUUUCAAUUUUUGAUGAAAUCUCCACAUGUUGUUACCCUCCACAGUUCUUUCCCAGCAAGCUUUAACAGUGUCAAGAAAGUUAGGUUGGUCAGUCCAGCAAUUGAGAAAUUUAAAGUAUCUGAUUUGAUCCUCUUCUCUAGCAACCAUUUCCAUCAGUAAGGGACAGUGGUCUGAUCCUACUGAUGAUAGAUGGGUAAUGGUAGUUUGAGGCAUUUUUUCCAACCAAGCAUCAUUAAUAAGGGCUCUGUCUAGCCUUUUCCAAAUUCUGUGAUGAAUACCCCUUUUAUUAGACCAAGUAAACUUCUGCCCACUGAAGCCUAAAUCCAUGAGUACACAAGCUUCAAUCAAAACAAUGAACUCUAGACUCUUCCUCAUGUUAUAAGGUACUCCUCCUAGCUUUUCCUCAAUGGAAGUAAUAACAUUGUAGUCACCUACUGAACACCAAGGAUGGUCCUUGCAUUUGGCAUACACAAAGGUAAAGGUGAAAUGAGUCUGAAGUUCAUUAUGGCCAAUGUCACAAGUUAUUUGUUGUUCAUCCUCCUCUAGUACUACACAGUCAAUGUCUAUAUUCCAAAAGAGCCAAAUUUUUCAAUUGCAAUUACUUACAGCCUGAUCCAUAGCUAAUUGAUUUUUAAAACUUUGAACAUGGAUAGUGUCUGAGAAAGGUUCCAAGAUGGCAAUGAUAGAAAGAUGGUGCAUCUUCUUGAGAAUUUUGAGUCUUUCCAAAACUCCUUGAGUAUUGAUCCCCCUUACAUUCCAAAUAAGUGUACUAAUCAUUGAGAUGAUCUGGAAGUAAAGAGCCUAGUGUUUGGUCUGCCAGCAAUGACAGUGUUAGUGUCUUGAAUUUUGAAGUGGAAUCUAUCAUGGUGUAUUCCUCUGGGAGAUAAUCCUUGAGUUUUAGCCACCUGUUGAAUCUCAUCCUCAAGGCCUUUAUCAUGGUGUGGACUAAAAGCUCUAAUCAGCAACUCACUAGUCUCAUCAUCCUCAUCAAGAUCCUUUAGGGAUUGAUUAUCCCCAUUAAUUUCAUCUUCUGAGUUGUCCAUAACAUAUUCAUCAAUCAUAGGACUUCUGUUAACCUGGCACUUUUCAGACAUUUUAUCAGGAGGGACAUUGUGAGGAGGGGUCAUGUAUUGUGCCUGUAAGGGAGUAAUAUACAUGCCCAUAUGUUCAUCUACCAUAAUAAACUUCUUACAAGCUUCCCCAAUCGUUUGUUGUUCCCUCUGCUGAUCACUAUCCUAUUGUGUGUUCUGUAUCUUUUUUGUUGUUUCUUUUUUUUUCCGCUAGGUUUGUUCUUACUUAUGGGAGUGUUUCCUUGUUUUCUAGUACUUGCAUUGGAUCCCAUAUCUUUUGCCAUCGAUCCCUUGUUUUGUUUACCUGUUGUUCCUCCCUCCACUUACUAUUUUUCCCUGUUAUUUUUUGUAUUAUCCUGAUUCUUUGCCCCUGUUUGUUCUUGUUGUUGCACCUUUUGAUGGUUUAGACUAUGUUGUUGGCCUGUAGUGGUAGCAAAAGUUCUAAGGUCUGAACUAUGGUCAAUGUGAGUACCCUCAUGCAGAACAUGAGACAAAUUGCCCCAUUUGGACACCCUUUCGUGCAUGUUAUUUUGUCUCUCCUGACAUUCCCCAUCCAUCCCUCCUUCAACUUCAAUAAGACCAUCAAGAUAGGGAAUAAUGAGGAUUGUGGGAAUUGAGAGCAUUGAGUCAAUACUUGUGCCCUUGUUAUUUACUUUGUUUCCUGUUUGGCUGACCUGAGUUCUUUAAGUAUGAUCAGUUUUAGAUCUGUUUUGUGCUCCUUGUACUGAUGUCCCUACAUCACUGUUAGGCUCCUGCAUGUCUGCAUUUUGUUUUUCCUGCAUGGUAAGAUUAGUAUAAGAGUUAUGACUAGAGAUGUUAGUUGUACCUGUUUGUUGAGUUGUGUGUUGUGGUUGCUUUUUUGUCAGCCUGUUCUGAGGUGAAGUUGGCCUCUAUACUGUUUUAUGUAUUUUUUCUUCCUGUGGUUUAUUGUUUCUCCUUUUAUGUACUUGCCAUUCCUCUUCUUUUUGUUGUUCAGGUUGUUGUUGAUUGCUUCCUUCCUUGUUGUUUUGCUGUUGCUGCUCCUCUUGUUCCUUUAUCCUAGUUUAUCUGUUUUUAUUCCCUUGUUGUCCCUGCUCUCUUUUAUUUAUGCUUUUCUUUUCUGUUUCUAACUCCUUCCUUUUGUUGAAUUCUUCAUCCCUUAUUUUGAAAUUAUAUUCAUCUAUCAUGUGACCUUGAUGCCUGCAGUAUGAACAUUAUAGGGGGAUAUUUUCAUAUUCGAUUGGUUGCCAUCUCCCUAUGGUGAGAUCCUCAUCAUCCAAACCAAUCCAAACAUGUCUAGGUCUUGUCUUGGUAAGGUCCACUUGAACUUUUACCUUGGCCAUGCUGGCUCUUGUUCUUUUAAUGGAUGUUGUGUCUAGGUAUAGAACUUUACCCACAGACUCAAGCAGAGGGGUUUCCUCCUUAGGUCGAAAAUUAGGAGUCCAAGUUUGUAUUCUCAUAAGCUUGCCCUCAAUGGUCAUUCUUUGUUGUGUCCACACAGUGUUGUAGUCAAGUUCAUUUUCCUAGUCAAUAAAAGCAUGCCUUGCAUUAUAAUGAGCUAUGUUAGCCCCCCCCCCCCCCAUUUAGUUGGGUUUGCAUAAUGAAACUUUUCCUGAUCAGCUCUACUUUAGGCAUGGUGGUACUGAACUUACCUAUCAGGGUGUAUUUACAAUCCACAGCCAGCUUAUUCAUGAAGUCAUUCAUAUCAUAAAUCACAGCAGGUUGGCCCUGUUUGGUUGUGUGUCGAGGAGGGACCAAUUCGAUGGGGGUUGCAUGAGCAGCAUGAAUUUGCCUAAGCCUUGCAGCCAGAGUUUGAACCACUGUAUAAGGUGCAGGUUCUGUAAUCUGAUCUUGUUUGGUGGUUUGAACCUCAUUAGUAUUGUUGAUACCUUUGGGCUGAUUGAGUUGGUUUAUUUGUUGGCUUUUCUGAUUAUGGGGUGUAUGUUUAUCAAAAUUACUGGAGAUUUUAGGGAAUGCCUUAUUAUAGCUAUUGGGAUCAAGAUUCCCAUCCAGAGUAAUCCUCCGAGACUGAUUCAUGUUUUUCUCAUUACUUUGUUCAGCCUACUGUUGGGAUUUACUGUCCCUCCUGCUCUGUUCCUGCUCACUCAACUUAACAGCCUCUUGCCCUUUUUCAUUAACAUGCACAUGACUAUCACUACUACUCAAGCUAGCAACAUUUUGAUUAGGAUUAGAGUUAGUAGACUUACCUGCUGGAGUGCUAUACUCACUUGGAUUUUUGGUUUGCGACUUGGUGCUUAUUGCCUGUUGCCCCUGUGUAUGAUCAUAAUCACAUUCAUUAAUAGAAUUGACACCCUUACCUGGCCUUUGCUUUCCUGUAUUGCUGGGAGUUGUAUCCACUGCUUUAACUCCAAAGGAAAAAUGUGAUGAGCUCUCCACAUCAACCACGUCCAAAGUUGUAGGCUUUGUAGGAUCAUGCUGAUCAUUUUGGCUCUUCCUUGUUUCAUUAUUUCCUUGUUCCAAUUGCUUUUCCAUCCCUUGCUCAUCCAUUGUGUGCUGGUCUUGUUUUUGACCAUUAGAGUUUGCAUGGUCAUGGGUAUAGGUCCACUGUUGUUUGUCUUCAGCUUUGUAUGUGAGCUCUUCAAGCUCAAAAUAUGGAUUGGUUAUAGUUCUAUCUAAGCUUGCCGGAAUUUCAUCAUGGGUCUGUUCCUGAACUAAAUUGAUGGAUAUAUUGGUAAGCUGGACCUCCUCAUCAGUAGAGUAGAUCUCCUUAGCGACGCCGCCAACAAAUUUCAAAUUUUCGACUGCUCGAUCACCAGAGUCCAUGUCGCCGGCGAUUGGACCAUCCAUUUUACUUGAAAUUGCAGUGAGAUGUACCUCUUCACCAGGUGAGUAAUCCCCCAAUGCUCAAAUCACCAUGAAAUUGCUGGGAAAUUGCUCGAAUUUGAGGGCGCAAUCCGGGCGAUACUGUGGUGAUUUUCCCAGAAAUGCCUCUCGAGAUCUCGCGAUUGGCAAGGUGGGAUUGUCUGAUUUUGUAGUAUGUUGUAGCCCUUGAUUAGUAGAAUCAUUCACACUUAACAUCUUUCCACGAAUCAACCUAUCGCGAUCUGGGGAAAUAAUUUUUUGAAUGCCAACCUUCUCUCUCAGGAAUCGCGCAGUUCAUCGCCUCAUUGAAUCGCGAAUUCAUGGAGUUGUAGGAUGAAUUAGAGGGUGAUUCUUGUUGGGUUUUGUUCUUCUGAUCAAGCCGCCCCUGUUGGGACUGGUCCGGCGGCCAGAAGGUCCCUACCGGUUGCUCACGCGCCAUUUCGGCGGUUCCCUUAACCGUUGGUACUGUAGCCGUUAGGCUUGGGGCUGGAGUGCUUAGUUUAGAGAGAUAUUUUUAGAGAGAGAAAAAAAUUGGGAAAUGAGGAAGCGAUGGGGUUUAUGGUUUAGGUUUUAGGGUUUAGAGUUUUGGGUUUAGGGGUUGGGUUUAGAGUUUAGGAUUUAGGGUUUAGGGUUAGGGUUUAGAGUUUAGGGUUUAGGGUUUAGGGCUUAGGAUUUAGGGUUUAGGGUUUUUUUUUGUUUAACGACCCUUGGGGGAGGGGGGUUCAGGGGCUUAGCAACACCCCCCAGGCCUUAGCAUAAAUAAAACAAACAACAAAAUACAAGGAGGGGGACAUAAACCUUACCUCCAAUCCUAUGGUGGUUCAGAAGUCUAUCAUCCUACUAAGGUCAAUCAACUCUUCCCCAAUACUAUAAAUUGAAACCUAGCUUCUAACAACCUGUGAGAGGACUCCUCUCGAUACAAAGAAACUAGGAAAGCAUAAAUAAGGGAGACUCUCCCUUUACAAGUGAUAACAAUAAAGGAAAAACCCUAUGCCCUAUAAUGGUCUUUCUUCAGACAGCCCUAACUCGUAGGUAAGAGAGAACUAUAGUGAAGAAAGCUCGGUGAUAUCAAAAAGGAGAAGAAAUAUCCAUGAUGGUAUGGUGUGGCCUUACACUGUAGUCAAAACAAUCAUCAAGGAGAUCAAGGCGGUUAUUUAAUUCUCUUAGUCUUCUUUCGUCUGAGGUUAGCCAAACCAAGCUUUUCCGUCAUGAGUAACCCUCUGAUAUGAAUAGGCAAAUCAUGAAUCCAGGUGAAGUGAGUAGCAGCAAGUGUGGUGUGGCUGUUUUUGGACAAUGCAUCAGCAACCGCAUUGCCCUCUCUGUAUAUGUGACGACACGAAAAGGUGUAAAACUGGCGAGUGAUGUCAUGAAGUCAAGCCGCUUCAAGCUCAUCCUGAUUGUUAGUCCCGACUCCCAGAGGACUAGCAAAAGCAUGUAUGAGGUCUCCAUUGCAAUCCCUAAGUAUGCCUUCUGCACCAAUUCUCCCAGGGUUGCCAAGAGCACUACCAUCGGUGUUGAGUUUGACUAGUCGAGGUGGCGGUCUAGACCAAGAAACUCUAGUAAUUCUGAUCUCAUGGAUGCAUAAAUCCACUUUAGCACACAAUUGUCCCCAUUCUGAAGGCCAAUGAAAGUAUGGAUAAGUCUUCUUCAAGAGCUUGUAGAUGUCGCUAGUGAUACCAAACUUCACCCUAAGCACAUUGGACUAUUUUGAUCCAUACUUUGCAGCACAUCUGUUCUUCCACAGGUUCCAACAAAUAAAGAUAGGAAGGGAUCUGAGAAUAAGUUGAUGAGGGCCAGUAUCAGUAGUCUGAGUCCACCAAUACACAAAGAGGUUCUUAAGGGAGUUCGGAACAUGUCUGAAGCCCAUCAAAAGAGAGAAAAAUGUCCAAACACCUCUAGCAAAGUUACCCGACACUAAAACAUGCUGGCCAUUUUCAUAACCAGGAGUACGGCAAGAAACACAAUCUGUGGUCACUUUCGGAUCAAAAGUAAAGACUCUAUCUGCAGUAGGAAGCUUAUUCCGCAAUGCUCUUCAUAAAGUAAAUGAGCAUUUAAAGGGGACAUGCUUCUGCCAGGUUCUCCUAUCAAUCAAAGAGGUAGGCUUCAUAACUCUAACCACUCUCUAAGAUGAAGAACAAGAGAAUAUGCCCGAAGUAGUGGCCUUUCAGUAAGGCUAAUCAGGUAUUUCAGGUUGAAAAUGAAUCUGCUGGCUAAGGAUCUGGGCAACUAAGUUUUGCGGGAGUUGAUGAUGAAGUCGGUUAAUCCUCCAUUGGCCAUGACAAAGAAAAUCAGAAAUAGUCACCCUGCUCGGUCUACCCGGCAAAGUCCUAUGAGUAGCAAGUGAACCAAUGCCAAGCCAAUUGUCCCAUCAAAAACUAGAAUUGCCCGAAUUUAUCUUCCAAAGUAUAUUUUCUUCAGCUAUUUGUUUGUUAGCCAUAAGAUUCGUCCAAGUAGAAGACUCACCAGAAUCAUACUUCUUUGAAACCGGGUGAGAGCGUUGGUAAUAUUUAGCUAGACGAAACUCCCUCCAAAGUGACUCUUUAGUCCUAAAAUUCCACCACUAUUUGAGUUCAAGGAAUUUGCAAACAUCACGGAUCUUUCUAAAACCAACCCCACCUUCUUCACAAGGAUUACAUAGAGUUUCUUUUCUUCCCAUAUUUCAUGCCCGAAUAGAAAUCCGCAGUCAACUUUUCAAUCUCAUUCAGGACAGUAGAAAGGGGAGAAACUGAACUAAUAAGGUGAAUAGGGAGAGACUGGAGAACAUGCUUAAUGAGAGUAGUUUUACCACCAUAACUAAGCAUUUUUGUUUGCCUACCAAAUAUCCUGCCCACUACUUUAGAGAUAAUGCUAGAGAAGUGUAAGAUCCUCUGCCUGCCAAUGUAAAGCGGACAACCAAGAUAAGUAAUCGGUGAAUCUUUCUGAUAAAACCCCAUGAUCACUUUUAUGAGGGAAAUGGUAGGGGGAUGAUCACUGGCGGAGACCAUAAAGUGACUUUUGUUCUUGUUGAUAAGCUGACCAGAGCAAUUUUCAUAAUCAGUAAGAGUCUGCAUUAUCAACUCAAUAUAUCGUCUGUCGUCCGAGGUGAAAAUAAUAACAUCAUCUGCAAAACUGAGGUGGUUAACCUGUGGACCUCUCUUUUCCAUGUAGAAACCCCGAAAGAAUUGGUUAUAGUUAAGGUUGUUCAACAAUUUGGACAGAACCUCUGCUUCUAAAAUAAAUAGGGCAGGUGCGAGUGGAUCACCCUGUUUUAAGCCUCUAGAGGAGUGGAAGAAGCCAUGUCUAACUCCAUUCACAAUCACAAAAUACCAGUUGUCCACCAAAGUCCUCCAAAUCAUAUCGAUAACAACCUCACAGAAGCCCAUUCUCCCAAGAACAAGGCAAGUAAAGGCCAAGAAACUCUGUCAUAAGCUUUGGCCAUGUCGAGUUUUAUAACCACAUUUCCCCCUAGAUUCUUUUGAUUGAUUCCAUGGACAAUUUGUUGAGCAAGCAUGAUAUUCUCUGAAAUACUCCUUCCCUUUAACGAAACCGAAUUGGUUAGUAGAAAUGAGACCAAGAAGGAUAGGAGCAAGUCGGAGACAACUAAUCUUUGAAAUAAUCUUGUUAGUGAAAUUGCUCAAACUAAUCGGUCUAAACUCACAAAGGUGGUUUGGGAACUCCACCUUAGGAAUCAAGACAAGGCAUGCAUGAGCAAAGUAUUUCGGGAGGGAAGAACCACAAAAGAAAGAACGAACCAUGGCAAGGAGAUCCAAUUUAAUAAUGUCCCAGCAAGCUUGAAAAAAUUCCCGUUUAUACCAUCUGGGCCUGCUGCUGAGUUUGGAUUCAUAAAGAAUACCACAUUUUUAAGCUCCUCCAAGUCCGGCAUAAUAGUCAAGUUAUCAUUUUGCUCAUCCGUGACAAGUGUAGGAAUACAAGCCAAAAUGUCCUCCCUAACAUAGUGAUUCUGCUCCGUAAACAGCUCUUGAAAAUGAUCACAAGCAGCCUUAGCAAUAUUGUCAUCACCCUGAAUCCAAUUGCCAUUGUCAUUUCUAACUUUGUGAAUAAACAACUUUCUCCUUCGCCCCCUCAUAAGAGCAUGGAAGUAACUGGUGUUGGCGUUUCCUUCUUUGAACCAUUGCAACUGAGCCUUUUGCUUCAAGAUAGACUCUUCAAGCUUUAGGAAUCUGAUGUAUUCAGCAUUAAGAGCAUGCAAAGAAGAUCUAUCCUGGUCACUAUUGGUUUGGAUGUAUUUUUCCUCCGCAAGCCUAACAACUUCAAAAUCUUUAACCCGAGCAAAAAUAUCCCCAAACUCAAUUUUAGACCAAUUGCUAAGUGUAGAACUAACCCGCUUCAAUUUCUGGUGAAAAUUCCACAUUGGAUGCCCCUGAAUAUCUCGGUCCCAACAAAGUCUCACCGUAUCCAUGAAAUUCAGAUUAUCAACCCAACAAUGAAGAAAUUUGAAAUAUUUUGUUGAACUAUACUGUCGAUUAGUCAUCUCCAAGAGUAGGGGGAAAUGGUCUGAACCCACAAAUGUCAAGUGAGUCACUGUAGUGAGAGGCAUUCAACUUAGCCAAUUGUCAUUUAUCAUAGCUCUGUCAAGCCUUUUCCAAACCAUAUCAUUCGGACCUCUCCCAUUGGACCAAGUAAAAGAGGAACCAUGGUAUCCCAAGUCAAUCAACCCACACUGCUCAAUCAUGUGAAGAAACUCAUAGCUCUUACUCAUUCUAUAUGGAACACCACCAAGCUUCUCCUCUGGAGUAGUGAUAAUAUUGAAGUCUCCAACUGUACACCACAGACUAGUAGUAGUUGAUCUAUGCCUGAGGGUAUUCCAAAGAGGAGCUCGGAGGUUAUCUCAGCAUUUAGCAUAAAUAAAGGAAAUAAUGAAAAUCUCCGCACACUCCACAUGUUUAAACUCACAAGUCAUAUGUUGGUCAUUCGACCUAAGAAGGACACAAUCAAUAUCAUUGUUCAAAAAAACCUACAUUUUUCCAUUAUCAUUACAGAUAGAUUUGUGCAUAGUCAAGUAGUUUGUGAAGAGAUGAAUAUGAGUGUUGUCAGAAAAAGGCUCAAGAAUGGCAAUAACUGAAAGUUUAUGAAUUUGUUUGAGAGCUUUAAGUCUCUCCAAAGCACCAAGGAUCCUGAUGCCCCUUUCAAUCCAAAUGAGUGUACUAAUCAUGAGGAAGUUUGAGUUUCCUCAUCUGUCUGGUCCUGGUUGCUAGGGGGCGGUCCUAGAACCUGGUGAAAGCAGAAUAGUGCCCCUAGGUGAGAGUCCUUGCUCAUCCGCAACCUUUUGCAUUUGAGAAGAAGAACCAAAUGUCUCAAUGAGCUGACGGACAUGUUUAUCAUCUAUGAGUUCUGGAGAAUCAUUUUCUUCUUCAGAAAUAUCAUUGUUUUUAUCUUCCGAUACAACCUGCAUGUAGUCAUCUUCCAAAAUAUUACCGGAGGUGUUCAGAUAACAAUCCUCAAUAAUACGAUCUGGAGGUUCUGCGUCAGUAGGAAUAGUCUGAUCCUUUUCACUAUCAACCUGUGAAUUUGAGUCAGGAAGCACUGAUUAAAGAGGAGUAAUAUAUAUAGGACUCUUAGGAUGGUCAUAAAUAAAAUGACCAGCCUCUUCUGUAGCAUUUUGAUCAUCUGGGAGCCGAGUACUUUGAUUAUCUGAGACCCGAAUACAUUCUGAUCAACUGUCACAUUAUCCGUAGAGUUCUGAUCAUCUGGAACCUGAGUAUCUUGAUCACUAGUUUCUCCAUGUCCAACAUUUUUUGGUGAAUCCUUAGCAUAGAAACUAGCAAUCUGUUGAUCGUGAAGUUCUACUUUCUUAUUUUGAGCCAUUUUUCUCUUUUGAGCAUUUGGCUCUGCCUUCCCUUUAGGACUGGUAGCAAGAUUCUGGGGUUGACUCUUAUGGGUAGGGCUAGUAACUUUAGUUGUAACCGGGUAGGAAGGACUUGUACUAUUAGGCUUUAUGGGCUUCUCCCGACAACCAACCAAACCUCCAAUAACAUCCUCCUGACCAUCAUCCUCACCUCCUUCAACCAACAAAUCAUGAUUAGCAGCACAAAUAAUGGGGUUGCCAUGGGGAGUGGGAGCGGCUGUACGCAGAAUGGGGGUAGCCAUGGGGGUGGGAAGUGGCAGCAUAUAUACUGGGGUUGCCAUGGGGAGUGGGAGCGACAACACGCAUAAUGGGAUAGCCAUGGGAAGGGGAAAUGGCAACACACAUAUUGGGGUAGCCAUGGGGAGUGGGAGAAGAGGUACAAGCAACAACCUGGUCCUCAAUAGUAGAAACACUUGUCACUUGCUUCGGAUUCUUUGGGACUUGCUCAUUUGGAUUCUUUGGGACUUGCUCAUUUGGAUUCUUUGGGACUUGCUCAUUUGGAUUCUUUGGGACUUGCUCAUUUGGAUUCUUUGGGACUUGCUCAUUUGGAUUUUGCGGGACUUGCUCAUUUGGAUUCUUUGGGACUUGCUCAUUUGGAUUCUUUGGGACUUGCUUUUCAAUAUUUUGCAAGGCAUGCUCCUUUGGACUUUGGGGAACCUAUAGGUUAGUAGAAACAACAACAAUAGGAGAAGAAGUGGAAACCAUACCUGAGUUACCUGUUAGUUCCAGUGGUGAGUCUAGAGGGUGCUUUGCUUUCUUGCCUGCUUUUUCCUUCUCCUUGUAUUUUUUCCUUUCUUCAUCUCUUUUAUUUAACUCACAAGCUGGGAGGGCAUGACCUUGAUGCUUACAGUAAACACAAUAGAGAGGAAUGUCUUCACACUCUAUAUCUUGCCAGCGACCCUCUCCAUUAAUGUCAUUAUUGGAGUCAAAACCAAUCCAAUCACUUUGUUUUCGAGGCAAUGUGAUAUCCAUUUGAACUUUGACCUUAGCGAAACUGCCUCUAGUUUUUUGUAGAAAAGCUGCAUCUAAGUGGAUCACCUUACCCACAUCGGCAAGUAAGUGAGUUACAAACUCUUUAUAAUAAUAGUGCCAUGGUAGUUCAAGAAGGAGUACCCAAAAAGGAACAAUCGGAGUUUCAAGGUUUGGUGAUAAAGUAGGGGUCCAAACAUGAAUUCUCAUGAACUUGCCUUCAAUGUAUAGCCUCUUACUAUCCAGAACAGUAGCCCUAUAAAGCUCAUUGUCCAAGUCAAUAUAUAUGUGUCGAGAGUUGAAGUGAGUAAUCCUAACGGAACUCGAUAACUCAACUUGAGUAAUAAAAUUCUUGCGAAUGACUUCCAUCUUAGGCAUGGGAUCAUAAAACUUACCAAUGAGGGUGUAUAUGCACGAAUCAGACAUCGUCACCAUAUAAUCAUUUAUAUCAUACAUCACAGUCGAACGACCUUGUUUGGUUGAUCUUGAAGGAACAAUAAGAUCAAUCUUGGUCGUUUUCGCUAUUUCUAGCUCUAAACUUGUUCCCCCAAGAUGGGACAGUGGUGGGAGGCGGAGGAUGGGUGAUGGUAAAGGUAGGAAAGGAAGAUUGGUUAUUCUUUUUUGGAGAUAGAGCACUCGUGGAAAGGGGAAUAGCCAAAUUUUGAGGGUCGUUUGGAUUCUACUUAUCAAAAUUGGAGGAGAUAGGUGGAAAGUGGUUGGUGGGAGGUUUGAUGGUGAUUUUUUCCCUCUCGUUGCUGGUACAGACCGGAGAGACAAUGACAGUAGAGGGCUGUGCGAAAUCACUAUUUUUGGGACUUUUGGAAGCAUCAAAAUUCAAAACGGAGUUAGGAGGGUCUAAAAGAUUGGAUUUUUGGAUAGAGUCAUUACUGGUGUGAUGGGGAAUGUUCUGCAAUUGGUUUGGGAUUGUUUUCGGCACCGGAAAAGAAAUUUUGGCCAAACAGUGGCUAUCGGAAACUUCCCGGAUGCUAUUAUCCCAAUUUGAUUGAUGUGGAGAGCAAUUAGGAUGGUAUUUUUGGUCAUGGAGGUUGCUGAGAGGUGAAGGACUAGAAUUAGAUUGGAUUUGGGAUUUUCUGGUAGCCAGAGCUCCGGCGCCGGCGACGACAUAGAGAGGGGAAACCCUAAUUCUAAAAUUCGAGGAGGAGGAGGAGGGAUUACUUGAUAGGGCUUUUGUGGAUUUGGAUUCUCCUCAUCAAGAUGAACAAUUUGGCAUUGCCAACUUUGGGAUCGGAGCUCCGCCGACGUCCGACAGCCCUACCUGAACCCUAGAGCUGUAGAUAAAUUUAGAUUGCUCCGAACCAAUUGGGGAUUUUUGCAUAUUCAGUUUGCUGGUAGGAUUCUUCACCGGAUUCCAUUUAAAAUUUGAGUUUUUGAACUCCGGCACGACAAUGCCGCCGUCGCCGAAAAUCAACGGAGGUGGCCCAACCUUCAAACUCAAAUUUAAGACGUUCCCGGUGGUAGAAUUUAGGGCUUUUUGCAUGGUUGUGACCGAAAUAAUGCCAGCUACACUUUGGCAUUGGUUUUGGUCCAAAAUAGUCGCCGAAAAAGCAGCGACUCCGGUCAGUUGCUCGCCGCCGGCAAUUCUGCCUCCCAAACUGGCUGGGUUUUUCAUGGGAGGUGCGUCGUGAGGAGGGCUACAAACCCAGUAGGAGAGCCACCAGAAAGACCACCGGAAGUGGGUCGUAUUUGAGAGCCGGCGAUUCACCGGAAUUGCGUCGAUUCUCCUCUGGUCGAUUUCUCUCAAAUGGCACGGUGGAAUUGUCUAAUUUUUUGAUAUGUUGUAGAUCUGAUAGAGAUCUAUCAUCCCCAACAUUACAGUUUCAAAUCAACAUCAACAAAAGAACUAGAAAUGUUUUUAGGAUUUUUGGCAGUUUCACCAUGGGAGGUGCUACAACGAUUCUGGCUGCUUAUGGAGUUUUCCAGGAGCAGUGGUUGGAGUUUUUUGAUGAUUCAACUUGCACUAGAUUCGUAUCAUCGAUAUCUACAAUCAUUUCUUUCGAACGAAAUUUUUCGGGAUCGGGUGGGGGUUUGGGGUUUAUGGCUUAAGAUUUAGGGUUUAGAGUUUAGAGUUUAGGGAUUAUGGUUAAGGGUUUAGGGUUUAGGGAUUAGAGUUUAAGGUUUAUGGUUAAGGAUAUAGGGUUUAGGUUUUAGGUUUUAGGAUUCAGGGUUUUGGGUUUAGGGUUUAGAGUUUAGAUUUUAGGAUAUGAUUUAGGGUUUAGGGAUCGGUUUUAGGGUUUAGGGUUUAGAGUUUGGAUAAAGGGUUUAGGGUUUACGGUUAAGGAUUUAAGUUUUAGGGUUUAGGGUUUAUAGUUUACGGUUUAGUAUUUAGAGUUUAGAGUUUAGGGUUUAGGGUUUAGGGUUUAGGGUUUAGGGAUUAGAGUUUAGUGUUUAUUGUUAAGAGUAUAGGGUUUGGGGUUUAGGGUUUAGGGUUUUGGAUUUAGGGUUUAGAGUUUAGAUUUUAGGGUUUAUGGUUUACUGUUUAGGGUUUAAGGUUUAAAGUUUGAAUUUAGGGUUUAGGAUUUAUGGUUUCGAGUUUGGGUUUAGGGUUUAGGGUUUAUGGUUUAGGGUUUAGGGUUUAGGAUUUAGGGUUAGGAUUAAGGGUUUAGAGUUUAGGGUUUACGAUUUAGGGUUUAGAGUUUAGGAUUUAGGGUUUAGGGUUUAGAGUUUGGAUUUAGGGUUUAAGGUUUAGGUUCAGGUUUAGGGUUUAGGGUUUAGGGUUUAGGUUUUAGGGAUUAACGUUUAGAGUUUAGGAUUUAGCGUUUAGGCUUUAGGGUUUAGGUUUUAGGGUUAUGAUUUAGGGUUUAGGGUUUGGGGUUUAGUUUUAGGGAUUAGGGUUAAUAGUUUAGCAUUUAAGGGUUUAGGGUUUAGGGUGUAGGGCUUAUGGUUUAGGGUUUAGGUUUUAGGGUUUAGGGUUUUGGGUUUAGGUUUAGGGUUUAGGGUUUAGGGUGUAGGGCUUAUGGUUUAGGGUUUAGGUUUUAGGGUUUAGGGUUUUGGGUUUAGGUUUAGGGUUUAGGGUUUAGGGUGUAGGGCUUAUGGUUUAGGGUUUAGGUUUUAGGGUUUAGGGUUAGGGUUUAGGGUUGAUAGUUUAGUGUUUAGGGUUUAGGGUGUAGGGUUAGAGUAUAGGGAUUAGGGUUAGAGUUUUUGGUUUAGAGUUUAAGAUUUGGGGUUUAGGGUUCAGGAUUCAGGGUUUAGAGUUUAGGGUUUAGGAUUUCUUUUUUCUUUUUUUAUUUUAACGACCCUUGGAGGGGUCAGGGGCUUAGCAACACCCCCAGGCCUUAUCAUAUUUAAAAGCAAAAACUACAAAGAGGGGGACAUAAACCUUACCUCCAUAAAGGUGGUGCAAGAGUUGGUAGCCCACUAAGUAACCUUAGUUGGUUCUCCAACUCUUCUCCAGAAAAAAAGAUUGGACCUAUAUUCUAUGCACCUAUAUGAGAGGACUCCUCUCGAUACACAGAUUCUAGGGAAACAUAAAUGAGGGAGACUCUCCCCUUACAAAGGAAAGACUAAAUAAACAAACUAUCUUAGCUAAGGGACAGACUAAUAGGAGAUGACAGGAGGAUCAUCCAAAAGAAGGCCUGAAGAAGGUCGUGCUCCUUCAUAGGUUUUCCAGAUAAGAAUAAAUCAAGGUUGUUCCUUAAUUAUUUUCAAUUUUCAUCUUAUGAAGCUUGCCAUACCUGCUAUGUCUUGUUGGAAAUAAGCUGCUGCAAGUUUGGGGAGUUGCUGAAUGCUGAAGUAUACCUGAGGAUUAGUAAUCUGGUGGCUGUGUUUAGAGAGUACAUCUGCUACAAAGUUGGCCUCCCUGAAAGUGUGAAUGCAUUUGAAAUGAUCAAGUUGAGUGACAAGUUGGUGAAGCUGUUGCAUUUGGGAAGAGAUGUUCCAGGGAGCUGUCGCGCUGUUCAUAAGCCAAUCCACCAGAAGUUGGGAAUCAACUUCAAGAGUCACUUGAUUAUAUUUCAUAUGUAUGCACCAUGUUAAGCCAAAAAUUACAGCUUCCACCUCUGCUUGGUUGUUUGUUCCUGUCCCCAAAGGAGCUGAAAAGGCCAAGGUAAUUUCUCCAAGAUGGUUCCUGAUGACACCCCCUGCUCCUAUGCUGCCCGGGUUACUCAAAGCACUCCCAUCCGUGUUAAGUUUAACCCACCUGUAUAGAGGUUUAGUCCACUGAACAACAGUAACCUUGGUGUCUUGGGUACACUUUUCGAUGACUGUACAUAACUUGUUCCACCUCAAAGGCCAAGAGAUAUAUGGAAAGAUUGUGUGUAGCAGCUUGAAACUGUCUAGAAUUAUUAAAUGUUUCACUCUUGCAAUGUUGGAUUGCUUGCCCCCGUACUUUGCAGCACACCUAUUUUUCCACAAAUUCCAACAAAUAAAUAUUGGUGUGGAUUGAAGAUUAAGUUUGUGUGCUUCAUUGUUAUGAGUAGCACUCCACCAUCUCAUGAUCAUGUUUCUAAGUGGCAAGUAGUCAGUUUGGAUGCCAAGCGAGAUCGCAAAGUAUUUCCAAACAUUCUUGGCUAAGUCUCCUGAAUUGAAUGUAUGCUCGAUAGUAUCUGUAACUGGAGAGUGGCAGCAGUGACAGUCACUAGGUUCAAUUCCAAAGCUCGAAAGCUUUUCAUUGGUAGGGAGUUUGCCUCUAAUUGCUCUCCAAAGUAAGAAUGAGCAUUUAAAUGGAAUUUUUGGAUGCCAAGUGUAGGUGUUGAUCUUGGUUUUUUCCCUUUUCUCUCUAAUACUGUUCCAUGCAGAUGCGAAAGAAAACAGACCAUUGGUGUUGAGCUUCCACACUUCUUGAUCAGGCUGGCCUUGCUGGAGCUGUAUCUGUGUGGAUAAAAUAAUAUGUACUUGGCUUUGAGGAGCUACCUGGAGCACCUUAGUCAUGUUCCAUUGUCCAUCUUCAAUAAAUUUCGAAACAGAAUCAUUAUUGAACCUGUUGCUGUUGGAGGUAUAUUGAGCUAACGGACCCACUCCUAACCAGUUAUCCCACCAAAAGGAGCAGGAUCCAUCUCUGAUUUUCCAUUGAAUAUUGCUCUCCACAGUGUGUUUGUUCUUCAUCAUCAAUCUCCAAGCUUGUGAUUCCCAUGUAUCCCAUUUUUUACUUAUUGGAUUGGAUCUUUGGCAAUACUUAGCCUUAAAAACUUCACCCCAAAGUGUAUGUUUGGAUCUGAAAAUGCACCAUUAUUUGAAUUGAAAAGCUUGACAAACAUCAUCCAUGAGCCUAACUCCAAUUCCCCCCUCAGCAUAGGGAAAACUUAAGUUUUCCCAUGAGGACCAAUGGUAUUUUUUCUUGUCAUUCCUCCAUCCCCAGAAAAAAUCAGCCAUGAUGCCUUGGAUUUGUUUAAUAAUAGUUGAGGGAGGUGUAGUAGCUGACAGGAUGUGAAUAGGGAGUGAUUGUAACACAUGCUUAAUCAGAGUUACUUUGCCCCUAUAACUCAGCAUCUUGGAUUGCCAACCUGUAAUUCUCUUCACAACUUUGCUUGUAAUUUCAGAGAAAUAGAUGAUCUUUGGCCUACCAAUAAAUAGAAGGCAACCAAGGUAAGUUAGAGGAGUUUCUUUCUGGUGUAAUCCAGUGUAUUUUUUUAUUCUGUCACAGGUAGUUCUGAAAGCAUUGGAGUGUAGCAUGAAAUGGCUAUUUGUUUUGUUGAUAAGCUGGCCGGAAAUCCUCUCAUAAGUAGCCAAGGUAUGCAUAAUAAGUUUAAGAGAAUGCUUCCUCCCAGAGGUGAAUAUUAUGAUGUCAUCAGCAAAGCUAAGAUGGUUGACCUGAGGGCCUCUCCUCUCCAUAUAGAAACCAUGGUAAAGGGGGUUAUGGUGCAAUCUGUUCAAUGAUCUAGACAACACCUCAGCACCUAAAAUAAAUAGGGUUGGGGAUAGGGGAUCACCCUUCUUUAAGCCUCUAGUGGAAUGAAAGAAUCCAUGUCUCUUGCCAUUAAUAAUGAUAGAGUACCAGUUGUUUGCCAUAAUUCUCCAAACCAUGUCUAUGAAGACUUCAUCAAACCCCAUUUUUCUGAGGAUCAGACAAGUAUAUGACCAAGACACCCUGUCAUAGGCUUUUGCCAUAUCAAGUUUGAUCACUACAUUGCUUCCAAUGGUAAGUUUUUUGAUUUGGUGGAUAAUUUCUUGAGCUAGCAUAAUGUUCUCUGAAAUGCUCCUUCCCUUGACGAAACCUGACUGAUUAGGGGAGAUUAGACUAGGUAAGAUGGGGCCCAAUCUGAGGCAUAAAAUCUUAGAAAUAAUCUUGUUUGUGACAUUACUCAAGCUGAUUGGUCGAAACUCUGAAAGUUUAUUAGGAUUAUUCACUUUAGGGAGAAGGACCAAGCAAGCAUGUGAAAAGUAUUUAGGAAGCAUUUGGCCACUGAAAAAAGACUGAAUGACUACCAGCAGGUCCUUUUUUAUAAUACUCCAACACUUCUGGAAAAAACACCCAUUCAUACCAUCAGGUCCUGCAGCUGAAUUAGGAUUCAUGGAGUAUACCACCUCCUUAAGCUCCUCCAAAGUUGGUAAUUCCUUCAUCCUAUCAUUUUGCUCCUGAGUAACCAUUCUGGGAAUACAAUCCAUGGGGAUUUCAUCAAUAAGAUUUUCUUCUCCUGUAAAGAUGUUCUGAAAAUGGUCACAGGCAGCCCACGCAAUUUGAUCAUCACCCUGUACCCAUUCAUCAUUGUCAUUGAGGAUUUUGUGAAUAAACAACCUCCUCCUUCUUCCCCUAAUCAAAGCAUGAAAGUACUUAGAGUUACCAUCACCCUCUUUAAACCAUUGUAGCUGAGUCUUUUGUUUAAGAAUAGAGUCCUCCAACUUCAUGAAUUUGAUAUAUUCUGCAUUAAUACCAUGAAGUUUUGUUCUCUGUUCUUCUGUGUUGUUGUGAAUGAGAUCCUCUUCAGCCACCCUGACUCUUUCCUCAUAGUCUUUGACCUUUGCAUAAAUAUCCCUAAAUUGCAUUUUAGACCAAGCACUGAGAGUAGAGGCAAGUCUCUUCAUUUUCUGAUGGAAGGUCCACAUGGGAUGUCCUGCUAUGGGCCUGUUCCAGCAGUCUGUAACAGUCUCUACAAAUGCAGGUUGAUCAGCCCAGCAGUUAAGAAAUUUGAAGUAUUUAAUGUGAUUCUCUGGUCUAACAUUCAUUUCCAUAAGGAGUGGGCAGUGGUCAGACCCCACAGAAGGCAGGUGGGUAAUGUUAGUAUGAGGCAUGAUUUGCAACCAUCUAUCGUUAACCAUAGCUCUGUCCAACCUUUUCCAAAUUCUGAAAUUUAUACCCCGUUGAUUAGACCAAGUGAAUCUAGGUCCAUUAAACCCCAGGUCCAUGAGUCCACAAGCUUCAAUAACUCCAAUGAAUUCAAGGCUUUUUCUCAUGUUGUAAGGAAUGCCACCCAGUUUAUCAUCAGUAUCAGUUAUAACAUUAAAGUCUCCAACAGUUCACUAGGGGGUGGCAUCUCUAGUAUCUGCAAUGUGAAGUAACCUGUCCCAGAGAGGCUUUCUGAGAUAUUUUUUUCAUUUAGCAUACACAAAGGUCUUGAUGUAGGUACCAGGAGCUUCUAUGUGGUUGAUUUCACAAGUAAUUUGUUGAUCAUCAGUUUCUAGUACCUUACAAGUAAUAUCAUAUAUCCAAAAUAACCAAAUUUUACCAAUGAUGUUACUAGUAGCAUGAUCCAUGGCAAGCAUACUUUUAAACAUGUUUACCUGGGCCUGAUCUGAGAAUGGUUCCAAAAUGGCAAUCAUAGACACAUGAUGGAUAUUUUUGAGGUUCUUGAGUCUUUCUAUAACACCUUGGGUAUUGAUUCCUCUCACAUUCCAUAUGAUUGUACUAAUCAUUGAGAUGCUCAAGAGGUAAAAAGUCUAGUGUUUGGUCUUCCUGCUGUUACAGGAAUGGGUGGGGAUGGUUUUUUGAGAGGUAAUCUUUCCAGAUGCAUGCCCCUGGGAGAAAGUCCCUGUGUGUUGGUAACUUGUUGCAGUUCCUUGUCAAACUCUGUGUCAUUAUUUGGGCUAAAAGCUUUGAUCAGGAGUUCACUGGUCUCAUCAUCCUCAUCUUUUGCAUUGUCAAGUGGAUUAUCUUCUUCUAACUCAUUUUCUGAAUUUUCCACUUCAUACUUAUCUCUUACAGUCACUGUGGCCUGAUCAGGAGGUUUCCCAGGAGUAGGGGGGAUAUACUGAGCUUUAAGGGGGAUGACAUCCAUUACAUGCUCCACCAUGAUGAAUUUUUUACAAGGAUUUACUCCCUCCGUAUGGUUGUUAUUUUGGGUCUGUUCUUGCUGAUAGUGCUCAACUUACUUCUUCUUGAUAGCUUCCCUCUUCUUCUUGCUAGGCUUGUUCUUACUCUUGGGGGUUUCCACUUGUUUGCUAGAGCUUGCUUUGUUUUCCAUAUCCUUUUCCAUGGAGCCUUUGAGCUGAUUAUCUUCUUCUCUAAUGAUAUGUACCUGCUGACUUCCUUCUUUUGUGCUUUGGUGUACCUAUUUUUGAUUUUGUUGGGCAGCAUUUAUAGUGGUAGCAGGGGCUGGAAGGUCAUUCCUAGGGUCAGCCAUUUGGUUUUCAUUCAAAACAUGAGACAAUUCCCUCCCCCUAGGUUCCCCUUCCUGCAAGUUAGUGUCUUUCUCCUUUACUACCAUCCUCCCUCCGAAAACUUCAGCAGUCACAAACAGGGGGAUAACAGGGGAUGGGACCUCAUUAUCAACAAAAUGGUCAUCAACAUCAACAAUAACAGGGGAUGGGGGUAUUGGAAUCUAAUCACCAGAUUCCUCAAUCUCAAUAACAGGAGUUUUGGAAUUCAUACCUGUUUUCUGCAUUGUCUGCUGAGUGUGGGAUGCUUUGGUUUGCUAAAUCUGUACUUGAGAAUUUUGGUUCUUACCUUGGUCCUGGUUUUGUUGGUAGUUUUUGUUUUUUUUUCUCGUUUGUAUUUGCCAUUGUUCCUCUUUGUGUGUGACAGCAACUUUAGUAGGCCUGCUUGCAUUGGUUUGCCUAUUUGGUUGGACUUUUUCUUUACCUUUCUCUUGCUGAGGAUUGCUUUUAGGAUUCUGAUUUGGUUGCUUCUCAUAACCUUUCUUGUUGGCUUCCAAUUCCUUCCUUUGUUUUAUUUCUUCAUCCCUUUUCUUCACUGGACAUUCUCCAAGUAUAUGGUCCUGGUGCUUACAAUAUAGACAAUAAGAAGGGACAUCUUCAAAUUCUAUGAUUUGCCACUUACCUAGAGAAGGGUCUUUUUCCGAAAAGCCUAGCCACACAUGUUGAGGUCUUUCUUUAGUGAUAUCUAUUUGGACCCUUACUUUUGCAAUACUUCCCCUGGUUUUUUGCAUGGUUGCAGAAUCCAGAUAUAAAGCUUUACCAAUAGGGGACAGCAAUGGAGUAAGGAUAUCCAUAUAGUAGCAAUGCCAAGGGAGCUCGGGCAAAGAGAUCCAGAUGGGCACUAUAGGGGUUUCCUCAGCAGGUUUAGUUAGGGUUUAAGGUUUAGGUUUAGGGUUUAGGGUUUAGGAUUUAGAGUUUAGGAUAUAGGGUUUAGGGUUGAGGGUUGAGGUUUAGGGUUUAAAGUUUAGGGUUAGGGUUUAGGGUUUAGUGUUUAGUUUUUAGGGUUUAGGGUUUAGGGUUUAGGGUUUAGUGUUUUGAGUUGAGGAUUUAGAGUUUAGAGUUUAGAGCAUAGGAUUUAGGGUUUAGGUUUUUUUUUUUUAACUACCCUUGCGGGGGGGUUAGGUGCUUAGCAAUACCCCCAGGCAUUAGCAUAAAUGAAACAAAAAACAAUAUACAAGGACGGGGAAAUAAACCUUACCUCCAAUCCUAUGGUGGUUCAGAAGUCGAUCAUCCUACUAAGGUCAAUCAACUCUUCCCCAAUACUAUAAGAUGAAACCUAUCUUCUAAACAUCUGUGAGAGGACUCCUCUCGAUACAAAGAAAUUAGGAAAUCAUAAAUAAGGGAGACUCUCUCUUUACAAGUGAAACCAAGAAAGGAAAAAGCCUAUGCCCUAGAAAGGUCUUUCUUCAUACAGCCCUAAGUCAUAGGUAAGAGAGAACUAUAAUGAAGAAAGCUCGGUGACAUCAAAAAGGAAAAGAAAGCUCCAUGAUGGUAUGGUGUGGCCUUACACUAUAGUCAAAACAAUCAGCAAGGAGAUCAAGGCGGUUCUUCAAUUCCCUUAGUUUUCUUUCGUCUGAGGUUAGCCAAACCAUGCUUGUCUGUCCGGAGUAUCCCUCAGAUAUGAAUAGUGUAACAACCCAUAUUAUGCAUAUGUUUGUUCUGUUUUUGUGAUACUUGACAUAGCCUUAUAGUAUAGGAGAGGGACCAUGUUUCUUAUAUGAUUAGUGUUGGUUUAAACUAGCUCGGAAGGUGAUGUGAUGCCUUGCACGUUGCAGCAUGUGUACUGCAGGUUAUAACUCCAACGGAAAUAUUUAAACUCGAGACGGGAAGGUGGUAAUUGAGCUUAAAGUUGAAAGUUAAGUGCUACGUUAAAGAAAAAUAGAUUAAUAAUUAGAAAAUAGAUUAAAAUAGGUGAGCUGCUUGCUUGACUUAACUAAGCUAGUAGGUGACAAGUAGGUGCACCACCUACUUUGACCUAUUGACUAGUCCAAAGAACCAAGUAGGUAAAUCACCUACUUGAACUAUAUGGAUCUAGUUAAAAAGGCCAAGGUUUAUAGAUCAGAUUUGGGCCUAUGCUAAUGGACUCACUUGAGGCCCAAACUAUGUUAAAUAAAACAAAAUGAAAUGAAAGCCCAGCAGCCAAAUCUGUCAAGUCCCAAUAUUUAAGCCCAAGUGAAAGCAAGUAAGUGCAUCACCUAGUUUGACCUUUUGAGCUGCUUGAUGUACACAUAAGCAGGUGCAUCACCUACUUGACCAAUUAGUGGCUGAAAAUGAAGCUUUCUAGUGGAUAUUCUUAAAUGUGAAGAAAGCUUAAUAUAAAGAUAUAUUGUUUGCUAUUCUCAUUCAUUUUAACACGCAUUAUUUAGGAUUAACUCCAGCUCUUUCUCUCUCUUUUCUCUUAAGGAUUAAACAACAGCCUUAAAGUUCUUCUAGGGUUCUUGAAGAAACCCUCAUCUCUGCAAGAUAAGGUAAGUGAAAACACUUAUGGAUUUAGCUUAAUUCUCCCAUGAAUGAUUAGGAAAACAUGUUAUUCAUGCUCAAGUAUAGGUAUAAAGGCAUGAUAAUUCCAGAAGCUACUUCUCACUUCCUUGGUUAUUAAGAUACUUUUCUCUUCUUCUUCGGUUUAAGUGUGAAGGGAAGUUGAAGUUCUAGAGGAAUUCAAGUUAUAAAGAGAAGUUGUAGAAAUUGAGGUAAGGUGAGUGCUCCAUUUUCUUCCUCCUUAUGGAUAAGUGAUAUACCGUGAUUUUACGGUAUUUCUAAUACGUUUCACUUACAAGUUGUGUGUGUCUAAGGCCCUUUUAUAUUGGUUUUGAUAUGUUUUAUCAUGUUUUGCAGGAAAGACGUUCAGGCGCGGAAGUGUAGAGACAACUGAAAUAAAUGCAGAAGAAAGGCAUUCACGGAGGUGAUCUACGGACGGUAGGUCCAAUCACGGUCCUUAGGUGAUGACCGUAGAUCAGCAGGCAAGGCAUGGAGGACAAAUCUGGGAAAUCUGACCAAGUGUGGAACCAUGGCUUCUACCGACGGUCCGUAGAUUGAUCUACGGAACAUACUGUUGAUCCAUAAAAUGAUACUGCGAGGGUUCCAGUACCUGAUUUUUNNNNNNNNNNNNNNNNNNNNNNNNNNNNNNNNNNNNNNNNNNNNNNNNNNNNNNNNNNNNNNNNNNNNNNNNNNNNNNNNNNNNNNNNNNNNNNNNNNNNAAUUGACUUUUGAUUAUUGAUUACUUUCUGAAUUCUUUCAAUUUGUUUCAAAAAACCCCCCUUUUAUUUCUUGUUUCUGGAAGUACUUUGGCUAAUUGAAUAUAAUUGUUGGUUAAAGUAAAGUCUAAACCAUUUUACUCGUGGGAUCGACCCCAACCUACAAGUUGGGUUCUUUACUUGAUAAUGAUCGCUUAUACUUCUUAAGGGAGGUGUAAUUUGAGCGUAUCAAUGAGUUUGAGUGAGGAAUUAGGGGUGUGCUGUCAUAAAGAAUUAAAGGGGGUACUGAGCUCAAUAAUUGGUUGUAUGAUAAAAGAAUAUUUUAGGCUGUUUUAUGUGUAUUGUUGUUGGUGCAGUUUGGGUAAUCUUGGAAAAGGAUAUAUAAUGUAUGUAUUGGGCAGAGAAAGAGGGUGUGGUGAUACACAUUGUUUUAAGGGCUGUAUGGGCUCAUUAUCCGUCAAAGUUAGCUACUAUUUUACGAGGCUCACGGUGUGAUAGCUGCUAAUUUAAAUUUAUCAUGACUUAUGUUGUAGAUUAUAACAUGAAAGGGGAGACUGAAUCGUGAUAGUUGUAUUGAAUAGAGGAUAAGGUAUGUAAGGCUAUUCGAUUCAAUAUUCUUCGGCAUGAAAUCUGAUACUUGAGAUUAAUAUCAAUAAGUGAAUUUCCUAAGUUCUAUUCCUAGUAACCAUAGUCCCAAAUAUCAAAAAUAAUUAUGACCACCAAAACAACAAUUUCAAAGAUAAAAGAAUCUAAGUAAAGCAAUCUAUAUAAUUAAGAGUGGCAGCUCAGGGGCGAAAGUCUAGCAUGGGCCGAUCCCAAUAGGUAUAAAAGGGUGGCAGCUCAGGGGAGAAAGCCUAGCAUGGGCCGAUCCCAAUUUGUAUAAUUAUGAGGACCGCAUCCCAGGGGUUAAAAUGCCUAGCAUGGGUCAUCCUCUUCUACCACUGAUCAGCUGGUCAUUCGUAUCAAAUGCCUUAUAAAGAUCAUAACACACAGAAAGGUAAAGACAAGAAUGUAACAUACAUGAUUCCAUAAGAGUUAACCAAUGUUGUCUUUUGUUCUGAUUUAUGCACACAUACAUUGAUACUUAGUUUCAUUGAACUCCUAUUUAGAUAAGCUAUUGCCUUACAUAUUCAGUACAUUUUCUCGUACUGACGUCCCUCGCGGGGGACGCUGCAUUUCAUGCUGCAGGAACAGGUACUUCAGCUAGUAGACCUCCUCAGUAGAAGCACACGACACUCAGCUACUUUCGGUGAGCUCCAGAUUGAUUCAGAGCUUUACUGAGUCCUUGGUAGAUUCAUUUUGGUAUUGUAUCGUAGUUAAGGGUAAGGCGGGGUCUAUCCCGACCUACUCUAAGGUUUUCUAUCUUUUAGAGGCUUUGUAGACUUUUAUGUAUAUGCUUCAAUUUCGUCUUAACAAGUUGUGGCCUCAACGGCCAAGUCUUGUAUAUAAGUUUUGGGUCUACUUAUGUUGGUUUGUAUCACUGCAUCCUAUGUGAACUUGUCACAAGAUUGUCAUAGUUAUAUGCAUAGUAGGCACAGGUUACAUGUUGGUUCUCUCGGGCCUUUAGGGCAUCGGGUGCCUGUCCGUCUUAAUGGGAUUUCAAGCGUGACAAAAGUAGUAUCAGAGCAGGUCAUCCUAGGGAGUCUACAAAGCCGUGUCUGUGUAGAGUCUUGCUUAUGGAUGUGUUGUGCACCACAUUUAUAAACAGGAUGCUACGGGACAUGUAGGAGUUGUCUCUUUUCUUUCAUAUCUUAGACCGUGCGAUAGAACCAAAGUAUAAGGUGAAUCGUAUUUAACUUCUGAAUUGCUUUUAUUAUAGAAAAGAUGCCGGUUACAACAAAGAGUAAAAGUACAGGUAAGCGAGUAGAUGUGGCUGCCUAAGAAGGGACCAGCCAACCACCACCUAAUCAAGUUGUUCAAAGUGAGGCUCAAGAUGAGUCCCUAUCACAGACUUCCCCGACUCCUCCAUCUCCAGAAGAUCUAAGGAGGGAAGCUGCACCUCAAGAACCCACUAUUAAUGCUACCAAGCAAGAUUUGAGGAAUGCAGUCCAAUUAUUGACUCGUAUAGUUGUUGGCCACGGCCAAAGGCAAGAAGGUCCAGUUGCAGGUACUAGUGGUGUAGAUAGAGCAACUGGCACGCGGAUACGUGACUUCCUAAUUUGGACCCUCCAUCAUUCACUGGGUCAGAUCCUAAUGAGGACCAACAAGAUUUUAUAGAUCAAAUCCAACGCACUUUGGCUGUUAUGCAUGUAAGUGGUAAAGAAGCGCUCGAGCUAGCAGCAUAUAGACUAAAGGGUGUGGUUGUAUUGUGGUAUGAUGCUUGGAAGCAAUCUAGGGGAACAGAUGCACCUUCAGCUAUGUGGAAAGAGUUCAUAAAGGCAUUUCUAGACCAUUAUCUGCCAUUGGAGAUCCGAGAGGCCCGUGUGGAUCAGUUCAUAAAUCUCCACCAAGGAAAUAUGAGUGUGAGAGAGUACAGUCUCAAAUUUAAUUCCUUGGCCAGGUAUGCUCCUAAUGUAGUAACUACUAUGGAGGAUAGAGUUCAUCGAUAUGUGGAUAGAUUAGAUUCAUCUAUGGUUAGAGACAGUACCAUUGCUUCGUUGAAUAAAGAUAUGGAUAUAACAAGGAUGCAAGCUUUUACGCAAAAGUUGGAGGAUCAAAGGCAAAGAAGAAGGACACAAGAUUCGGAAACAGGGCAUUCUAAGAGGGCCAGAUCCAUGGGGCAGUUUACACCAUCCCAAGGUGAGUUUAGGCCUCGGUUCUUUAACAGACCACCUAGGCCAUCAUCUUUCUACUCUACAGCUAGUGCCCCACCUCGGUUUCAAGAAUCUAGGGGCAAUCAGUUUGGGAAAAGAGGUGAAAGCCAAGGUUCACGAAUAGCGGGGUACCCAGAGAAGGGAAGUAUGAGUCAAUCAAGACCUCCUCGACAGUCUUGUAAACAAUGUGGAAGGAAUCAUCUAGGUGCAUGUAGGUUUGGGAAAAAUGUUUGUUUUUGGUGUGGUACACCGGGUCAUCUGAUGAGAAAUUUCCCUCAUAGGGGUGUGGGUGGUGUGGCACAACCUACUAGAUCAGUUGUUGCAUCAUCAUCAUCAGCACCUUCUUUGGGUAGGGGACAAAUGCCUACUGGUCGUGGUAGAGGAUUUAGGGGAGCAGCUAGUUCUAGUGGAGUUUAGAAUCGAACAUAUGCCCUAGGGGAUCGAUAAAAUUUAGAAGCCUCGCCAGAUGUGGUUACAGGUACAUUGUCCAUCUUUUCACAUAUUGUAUAUGCAUUAAUUGAUUCGGGGUCUACACUAUCAUAUGUUACUCCAUUGAUUGCUGAAAAGUUCAAAAGAACACCAGAAUUAUUAGUGAAGCCAUUUGAACUGUCUACACCGAUUGGUGAAUCUACUAUAGCUAGAAGGGUUUAUCAUAAUUGCAUUGUAACUGUUUGUGAUCGUGAUACAUUAGCUGACCUUGUUGAGCUAGAAAUGGUAGAUUUUGAUGUUAUAAUGGGUAUGGAUUGGUUAGCUUCUUGUUAUGACAUGGUAGAUUGUCGAACUAAGAUGGUGCAUUUCCAUUUUCCAAAAGAGGCAGUCCUUGAAUGGAAAGGUAAUAUUGGGACACGAAGAGGUAAAUUUAUUUUUUAUCUUAAGGCAAAGAAGAUGAUGUCCAAAGGAUACAUAUGUCAUCUAGUGAGAGUGAAAAAUAUAGAUGCGGAGCCACCAACUCUUCAAUCCAUUCCGGUAGUUAAUGAGUUUCCUGUUGUAGUUCCUGAAGAUCUUCCAGGUUUGCCUCCAGAACGAGAAGUAAAGUUUGGUAUUGAUGUGAUUCCAGAUACUCAACUUAUCUCCAUUCCUCCGUAUAGAAUGGCCCCGGCAGAAUUACGAGAGUUGAAGGAGCAAUUAAAAGACUUAUUAGAAAAAGGAUUCUUAAGGCCUAGUAUGUCCCCAUGCGGAGCACCAGUUUUAUUUGAACGCAAGAAAGAUGGUUGGUUUAUUAAGGAUGUGUAUCGACUACUGGCAGUUGAAUAAGGUAACGAUUAAGAACAAAUAUCCCCUCCCUAGAAUUGAUGGUUUGUUUGAUCAGUUACAAGGUUCUAGGUGUUUUUCAAAGAUCGACUUGAGGUCGGGUUAUCACCAAGUAAGGGUCAAAGACAAAGAUAUUCCCAAGAGAGCUUUUCGAACUCGGUAUGGUCAUUUUGAGUUUUUAGUCAUGUCAUUCGGGCUAACGAAUGCACCAAUAGUUUUUCUGGAUUUGAUGAAUAGGGUAUUCAAGCCAUUUCUAGAUGUAUUCGUGGUAGUAUUCAUAGAUGACAUUUUGGUGUAUUCAAGAUCAGAAGAUGACCAUGCUAAUCACCUACGACAGGUUUUACAAAUUCUUUGUGAUCGUAAGUUGUAUGCAAAGUUCUCUAAAUAUGAGUUCUGGUUGAAAUCUGUGGCAUUGUUAGGUCAUAUUGUAUCCGAUGAAGGAAUAAGGGUUGAUAACCAGAAGAUAGAAGCCGUGAAAAACUGGCCAAGACCUACAACGCCUACGGAGAUCCGUAGUUUUCUUGGAUUGGCAGGUUAUUACAGAAGGUUCGUUGAAGGAUUCUCUUCCAUUGUUUCACCCUUAACAAAGCUAACACACACACAGAAACUAAGUUUCAGUGGAGUGAUGAAUGUGAAAGAAGCUUCUAAGAACUGAAGAAUAAAUUAACUUCUACACCUGUAUUAGUACUUCCAGAAGGCACGGAAGGCUAUGCAGUGUAUUGUGAUGCUUCGAGAGUGGGCUUAGGUUGUGUAUUGAUGUAGCAUGGUAAAGUGAUAACUUAUAGCUCAAGGCAGUUGCAGCCACAUGAUAAAAAUUAUCCAACCCAUGAUCUAGAGCUAGCAACAGUUGUCUCUGCUUUGAAGAUAUGGAGCCACUACUUGUGUGGAGUUCAUGUUGACAUUUACACUGAUCACAAGAGUUUGCAAUAUAUUUUUAAGAAAAAGGACCUAAAUCUGAGGCAGCGAAGAUGGAUGGAGCUAUUAAAAGAUUAUGACAUUAAUAUCUUGUAUCAUCCCGGGAAAGCAAAAUGUAGUAGCUGAUGCGUUAAGUCGUAAAAUAAUGGCAAGCACUUAUGGGCAAUCUGUGGAAAGACAAGGAAUAACUAAGGAUCUAUGUCAACUAGCUAGCUUGGGGGUUCGCCUUCUUGAAUCUCCAGACGAAGGGGUUAUUGUGCAAAAUGCGGCAGAAUCCUCAUUAGUAGUGGAAGUGAAAGAGAAGCAGUACAUUGAUCCUAUUCUAUUAAAGCUUAAGGAGAAUGUACAACAGGGUAUGACAAAGGUAUUUGAGCUUACGCAAGAGGGAGUACUUCGAUGUCAAAACAGAUUGUGUGUGCCUAAUGUAGAUGAAUUAAGAAACAGGAUUAUGAUGGAAGCACAUCAUUCGAGAUAUUCUAUCCAUCCGAGGUCAACUAAAAUGUAUCAUGACUUGAAAGAAAUGUAUUGGUGGGGGACAUAAAGAAGAACAUUGCGGAAUUCGUGGCUCAAUGUCCAAAUUGUCAACAAGUAAAAAUAGAGCACCAAAAGCACAGAGGUUAUAUGCAGUGUAUAGAACUUCCAAUUUGGAAGUGGGACAUGAUCAACAUGGAUUUUGUCACUGGUUUGCCUCGCUCAUUUCAAAAGUUUGACUCCAUACGGGUAAUAGUUGUCAGACUCACCAAAUCAGCACACUUCUUGCUGGUGAAGACUACUUAUACAGCUGAAAAGUAUGCAAGGUUGUAUAUUAAAGAGAUAGUUCGACUACAUGGAGUGCCAAUCUCUAUAAUAUCUGAUAGAGGAGCUGAAUUCACUGCAAAUUUUUGGAAGUCAUUUUAGAAGAGUUUGGGAACACAAGUGAAUUUAAGUAUAGCCUUUCACCCCAAACAGACGGUCAGACAGAGCGUACAUUUCAAACACUUGAGGAUAUACUGCGAGCUUGUGUAUUAGACUUCAAGGGUAGCUGGGACUACUGCUUAUUGAAUUCGCUUAUAACAAUAGCUACCAUUCAAGUAUUAAAAUGGAACCUUAUGAAGCUUUAUAUGGUAGAAAAUGUAGAUCCCCAAUUGGCUGGUUUGAAAUAGGUGAAACUGCUUUAUUUGGGCCAAACCUUGUUCAUCAAGCUAUGGAAAAAGUUAAGGUGAUACAACAGUGGCUAGAAACAGCUCAAAGUCGACAUAAAAUCAUAUGCGGAUGUUAGAAGGAGAGGACUAGAAUUUUCCAUAGGGGAUUGGGUGUUCUUGAAGGUGUCACCGAUGAAAGGGGUAAUGAGGUUUGGUAAAAUGGGAAAGUUGAGUCCACGCUAUAUAGGGCCAUAAAAGGUUAUCCGAAGAAUUGGCCAAGUUGCGUAUGAGUUAGAGUUACCUCAAGGGCUUUCAACCGUUCAUCCGGUGUUUCAUGUAUCAAUGCUUCGAAAAUGCGUAGGUAACCCAUCUCGUAUUACUCAUACUGAAGAUGUACAAGUUACGAGAGAUCUCACUUAUGAAGAAGUACCCAUUGCUAUUCUGGAUCGACAAGUUAGGAAGUUAAGGAAUAAAUAAGUAGCUUCUGUAAAAGUAUUAUGGAGGAACCAGCAAGUAGAAGAAGUUACAUGGGAAGCGGAAAAAGCAAUGAAAUUGAAGUAUCCUCAUAUCUUCCAGACCAAUGAGAAAGAUGAAAAUGUUGAGUUGAGGCGUUAACAAGUAAGUAUAAUUCUAUAUGUUUAAUGUGAGUAAUACUAAUACUUAGGCUUGAACUUGUUUGGGCUGGAUAACCAUGCUAACAUUUGAGGACGAAUGUUUUAAGGGGGGAAGGAUGUAACAGCCCAUAUUAUGCAAUUGCUUGUUCUGUUCUUGUGAUACUUGACAUAGCCUUACAAUAUAGGUGAGGGACCAUGUUUCUUAUAUGAUUAGUGUUGGUUUAAACUAGCUCGGAAGGUGAUGUGAUGCCUUGCACAUUGCAGCAUGUGUACUGCAGGUUAUAACUCCAACGGAAAUAUUUAAACUCGAGACGGGAAGGUGGUAAUUGAGCUUAAAAUUGAAAGUACAGUGGUAAGUUAAAGAAAAAAAGAAUAAUAAUUAGAAAAUGGAAUAAAAUAGGUGAGUUGCUUGCUUGACUUAACUAAGCUAGAAGGUGACAAGUAGGUGCAUCACCUAAUUUGACUUAUUAACUAGUCCAAAGAACCAAGUAGGUGCAUCACCUACUUGAGCUAUAUGGAUCUAGUUAAAAAGGCCAAGGUUUAUAGAUCAGAUUUGGGCCUAUGCUAAUGGACUCACUUGAGGCCCAAACUAUGUUAAAUAAAACAAAAUGAAAUGAAAGCCUAGCAGCCAAAUCUGUCAAGGCACAAUAUUUAAGCCCAAGUGAAAACAAGUAAGUGCAUCACCUAGUUUGACCUUUUGAGCUGCUUGAUGUACGCAUAAGCAGGUGCAUCACCUACUUGACCAAUUAGUGGCUGAAAAUGAAGCUUUCUAGUGGAUAUUCUUAAAGGUGAAGAAAGCUCAAUAUAAAGAUAUAUUGGCUGCUAUUCUCAUUCAUUUUAACACGCAUUAUUGAGGAUUAACUCCAGCUCUUUCUCUCUCUUUUCUCUUAAGUAUUAAACAGCAGCCUUAAAGUUCUUCUAGAGUUCUUAAAGAAACCCUCAUCUCUGCAAGACAAGGUAAGUGAAAACACUUAUGGAUUUAGAUUAAUUCUCCCAUGGAUGAUUAGGAAAACAUGUUAUUCAUUGCUCAAGUAUAGGUAUAAAGGCAUAAUAUUUCCAGAAGCUACUGCUCACUUCCUUGGGUUUAUUUAAGAUACUUUUUCUCUUCUUCUUUGGUUUAAGUGUGAAGGGAAAUUGAAGUUCUAGAGGAAUUCAAGUUAUAAAGAGAAGUUGCAGAAAUUGAGGUAAGGUGACUGCUCCACUUUCUUCCUCCUUAUGGAUGAGUUUGAGUGAGGAAUUAGGGGUGUGCUGUCAUAAAGAACUCAAGGAGCUGUUGAGUUCAAUAAUUGGUUGUAUGAUAAAAGAAUAUUUGAGGCUGUUUUAUGUGUAUUGUUGUUGGUUCAGUUUGGGUAAUCUUGGAAAAGGAUAUAUAAUGCAUGUAUUGGGCAGAGAAGGAGGGUAUGGUGAUACACAUUGUUUUAAGGGCUGUAUGGGCUCAUUAUCCGUCAAAGUUAGCUACUGUUUUACGAGGCACACGGUGUGAUAGCUACUAUUUUAAAUUUAUCAUGACUUAUAUUGUAGAUCAAAACCUGAAAGGGGAGGCUGAAUCGUGAUAGUUGUAUUGAUCAGAGGAUAAGGUAUAUAAGGCUAUUUGAUUCAAUAUUCUUCGACAUGAAAUCUGAUACUUGAGAUUAAUAUCAAUAAGUGAAUUUUCUAAGUUAUAUUCCUAGUAAAGGAAACAUAGUGGCAGCGUAUGAUCUCCAAGUAGCUAACAAUAUUUCCCCAUCUCCUUAGUGUAUAGAAUUACUUCAGAAUAUGUUAAGUACUCUAUACUUGUGUAAUUAUCUUCCUAUGUGCUGGUAUAGAAAUGGUAUUUGCAAAAAGCAAGUUUGGUGAAUCCUUCUCUUAGUCAGUUGAAGUCAAUUGUGUCAUUUAGGCUCACAAGUAAUGCAUUGAUGUUACAUAGCUCCUUAUGUCAUUGUUACUGCCUUGAAGUAUUAUUUUCAUGUCUUCUACUACUGCAAUAGUCCCAACUGUCAAAAAUGAUUAUGACCACCAAAACAACAAUCUCAAAGAUUAAAGAAUCUAAGUAAAGCAGUUUGUAUAAUUAAGAGUGGUAGCUUAGGGGCGAAAGUCUAGCAUGGGCCGAUCCCAAUAGGUAUAAAAGGGUGGCAGCUCAGGGGAGAAAGCCUAGCAUGGGCCGACCCCAAUUGGUAUAAAAGGGUGGCAGCGUGAGCUCCAUAUUGAUUCGGAGCUUUACUGAGUCCUUGGUAGAUUCAUUUUGGUAUUGUAUCGUAGUUAAGGGUAAGGCGGGGUCUAUCCCGACCUACUCUAAGGUUUUCUAUCUUUUAGAGGCUUUGUAGACUUUUAUGUAUAUGCUUCAAUUUCGUCUUAACAAGUUGUGGCCUCAACGGCCAAGUCUUGUAUAUAAGUUUUGGGUCUACUUAUGUUGGUUCGUAUCACUGCAUCCUAUGUGAACUUGUCACAAGAUUUUCAUAGUUAUAUGCAUAGUAGGCACAGGUUACAUGUUGGUUCUCUCGGGCCUUUAGGGCAUCGGGUGCCUGUCCGUCUUAAUGGGAUUUCAGGCGUGACAAAGAGGCAAGUCAUGAAUCCAAGUGAAGUGAGUAGCAGCAAGUUUGGUGUGGCUGUGUUUGGACAAUGCAUCAGCAACCGCAUUGCCCUCUCUGUAUAUGUAACAACACGAAAAGGUGUGAAGCUGGUGAGUGACGUCCUGGAGCCUGAGAAAGGAGUGGUGGAGAUGCCAAGGGGGUGUUAUCCUACCAUCAAUCCAACUGACUAGAAGCUCUGAGUCAACCUCAAGAAUGACCCUUGAAUAACCAUUAUCUAAAUUCCAAGCUAGUCCAAUACAAGCCACUUUAAGCUCACCCUGAUUAUUAGUCAUGACUCUCAGAGAGGGUUUAGGGUUUAGAGUUUAGGNNNNNNNNNNNNNNNNNNNNNNNNNNNNNNNNNNNNNNNNNNNNNNNNNNNUAGGGUUUAGGGUAUAGGGUUUAGGGUUUAUGGUUUAGGUUUUAGGGUUUAGGGUUUUGGGUUUUGGGUUUUGGAUUUAGGGUUUAGAGUUUAGAAAUUAGGGUUUAGGGUUUAGGGUUUAGGGUUAGAGUUUAGGAUUUAGGGUUAUUAGUUUAAGGUUUAAGGUUUAGAGUUUAGGGUUUAUAGUUUAGGGUUUAUGGUUAAGGGUAUAGGGUAAGGGUUUAUGCUUUAGCUUUUAUGGUUUAGGGUUUAGGGUUCAAGGUUUUGGGUUUAGGGUUUAGGGUUUAUGGUUAGGGCUUAGGGUUUUGAGUUUAGGAUUUAGGGUUUAGGGUGUAGGGUUUAGAGUUUAGGAUUUAGGGUUUAGGGUGUAGGGUUUAGAGUUUAGGAUUUAGGGUUUAGGGUUUAUGGUUUAGAGUUUGGAUUUAGGGUUUAAGGUUUAGAGUUUAGCGUUUAGGGUUUAGAGUUUAGGGUUUUUUUUUAAUACCCUUGGAGGGGUAGGGGCUGAGCAACACCCCCAGGCCUUAGCUUUAAUAAAAGGCAAAAAUAUAAAGAGGGGGACAUAAACCUUACCUCCGCUUAAUGGUGGUACAAGAGUUGGUAGCCUACUAAGCAUUCUUAGUAGGUUCUCCAACUCUUCCCUAAACAAAAGUGAAACAUAUCUUCUAUGCACCUAUGUGAGAGGACUCCUCUCGAUACAUGGAAUCUAAGAAAGCAUAAAUGAGGGAGACUCUCCCUUUACAAGUAAAGUAAAAGAAAAGACUCAACUAAGGACUAUCCUAAUAAGGGUGUAGCCAAAGUGUUGAUGAUAGGAUGAUCAUCAAAAGAAGGGUUUGAAAGAGUUCAAGCUCCUUACAAAUGCUUCUUUACUGGAAUUGGCUUAAGGUGGUUCCUUUAUUCUCUUCAACUUCCUUCUUUUGAAAUUUGCCAUACCUGCCAUGUCUUGUUGAAGGUAUGAUGCUGCUGGAUUGGGGAGCUGCUGAGUGUUGAAAUAAACAAGUGGGCUGGUCUGCUGAUGACUGUACUUGGAGAGUACAUCCGCUAUAAAGUUGGCCUCUCGAAGUGUGUGGAUACACUUAAUCUGAGGGAAAUUAGAGGAGAGUCACUGCAUCCUUUGCAUUUGGGAAAAAAUGGACCAAGGAGUUGCUCUUUUCUUCAAAAACCAGUCCACAAGAAGUUGGGAGUCAACUUCCAGAAUAACCUUGUUAUAAUUCAAAUGAGCACACCAAGUUAAGACAAAUAAUGCAGCCUCGACCUCAGCUUGGUUGUUGGUGCCUUCACCUAAAGGGACUGAAAAAGCAAAAAGGAGUUCUCCCAUGUGAUUUCUGAGAACACCACCAGCUCUUAUGCUGCCUGGGUUAUUCAAUGCACUCUCAUCGGUGUUCAAUUUAACCCAUUUUUCUGGUGGUUUAAGCCACUGGACUGCUGUAACCUUGCUGUCAUGGAUGCAAUUCUCCAGCAGUUUGCAAAGUCUGCUCCAGUUCAAUGGCCAAGAAAUGUAUGGAAAAACAGUGUGCAUCAGUUUGAAGGUGUCCAGAAUUACAAGGUGUUUGACCCUUGCAAUAUUUGAUUGCUUACCUCCAUAUUUCUUUGCGCAUCUAUUUUUCCACAAACUCCAACAAAUAAAGAUUGGAGUGGCUUGAAGAAUAAUUUUGUGUGCCUCAUUGUGAUGAGGGAUACUCCACCAUCUCAUGAUCAUGCUUCUUAAUGGCAGAAAAUCAGUAGAUAUGCCCAAGGGGAUAGCAAAAAAUUUCCACACAGUUUUUGCCAAGUUCCCUGAGUUAAAGAUGUGUUCAAUUGUAUCAGCACCUGGAGAAAGACAACAAUAACAAUCACUUGGUUCGAUGCCAAAGCUGGACAGCUUCUCAUUGGUAGGAAGUUUACCCCUUAUUGUUCUCCAUAACAAGAAUGAACAUUUGAAAGGGAUGUUUCGAUUCCAAGUGUAGGAGUUAAUCUUGGUUUUAGCUUUUUUUUCUCGAAUAAUAUUCCAGGCAGAAGAGACAGUAAAGAGGCCAUUCGAGUUGAGAUUCCAAACAGCCUGGUCAGAACUGGUAUGCUGUAAUUGUAUUUGAGUUGACAGAAUUGUAUGCAGCUAGUUUUGAGGAGCAAGCUGGAUCAGUUUGUCAACACUCCACUGCCCAUUUGCCAUAAAAUCAGCGAUAGUUUCAUUGUCGAAUCUGUGGCUAGUAGUAGUGAAUUGCGCUAAUGAUCCUACUCCUAACCAGUUGUCCCACCAAAAUGAACAAGAACCAUUUCUAAUUUUCCAUUGGAUAUGAUUUUCCACCGUAUGUUUGUUCCUCAUAAGCAGCUUCCAGGCUUGAGAUUCUCCCGUAUCCCAUUUUUUGCUUAUGGGAUUUGAUCUUUGGCAAUAUUUCGCUCUUAGAAAAUCCCCCCAAAGAGUUUGCUUGGUUCUAAAGAUCCACCAAUGUUUGAAUUGGAAAGCAUGACAAAUAUCGCUCAUUUGCCUUACUCCAAUUCCCCCUUCAUCUUAUGGAAGGCUGAGAUUCUUCCAUGACAACCAAUGAUAUUUUUUCUUGUCAUCCCUCCAUCCCUAAAAGAAGUCAGCCAAGAUACCUUGAAUCUGUUUGAGUGUAGAAGAUGGGGGGAAAUGGCCGAAAGAAUAUGAAUAGGCAUGGAUUGUAGAACAUGCUUAAUCAAGGUGGCUUUACCCCCAUAACUUAGCAUCUUAGAUUUCCAACCAAUGAUUCUAUUCACUAUCUUGUUGAUGAGAUCAGAAAAAUAAAUAAGUUUGGGCCUUCCUAUAAAGAGUGGACAGCCAAGAUAUGUAAUAGGAGCUUCUUUCUGCUGAAAUCCAGUGUACCUUUCGAUUCUAUCACAAGUAGUUCUGAAGGCAUUAAGAUGGAGUAGGAAGUGACUCUUGGCUUUGUUGAUGAGUUGACCAGAGAUCCUUUCAUAUGUAGCCAAUGUCUGCAUGAUGAGCUUGAGAGAAUCUUUUCUUCCAGAAGUGAAAAUUAUGAUGUCGUCCGCAAAACUCAGAUGGUUAAUCUGAGGUCCUCUCCUUUCCAUAUAGAAUCCAUGAUAUAGAGGAUGUUAGUGGAGUCUGUUUAAUGAUCUAGAUAACACCUCAGCACCUAAAAUAAAUAGAGCUGGGGAUAAUGGAUCACCUUGUUUAAGGCCUCUAGUUGAAUGGAAAAAACCAUAUCUUCUACCAUUAAGAAUCAUAGAGUACCAAUUGUUGGCCAUAAUUCUCCAAAUCAUGUCAAUGAAAAUCUCUUCAAAACCCAUUUUUCUCAAGAUCAAACAAAUAUAUGACCAUGAAACCCUGUCAUAAGCUUUUGCCAUAUCAAGCUUGAUCACGACAUUGCUUCCAAUAGUAGGUUUCUUAAUUUAAUGGAUAAUUUCUUGAGCUAACAUAAUGUUCUCUGAUAUGUUCCUACCCUUGACAAAGCCUAAUUAAUUUGGCAAAAUCAAACUAGGUAAUAUAGGAGCUAAUCUGAUGCAUAAUAGCUUAGAAAUAAUCUUGGUAGUGAAGU